GUUAACAAUAUCUGGAGGCAACCUACAGGGAAAGCUCAGGUUCCCAAAAUAUAAUGAUAAAAUGAAUUCAAUAGUGAUUUCAAAUGUGGAACAUCUUAACCUCGCAGGCAACAGCCUCUCAGAUGAAUGUCUCCCAAUACUUCUCAAGUGGUUUGUUAAUGUGACAUUUCUAGAUUUAUCCUGUAACUACAAUUUCACAAUUCUUCCCGAGUGCCUUGGUGAAUGUCACUGUCUUAUGCAUCUUAAUUUGAUGUUUUGCUUGGCUCUUGUGGAAAUUAGAGGGAUUCCACCAAAUCUUGAAAUUCUUUUUGCAGUCAUUUGUUAUUCAUUGAGUUCCUCAAGUAUAAGAAUGUUAAUGAGUCAGGUUUGUUGUUUUUUUAUUGCACUAGUAUUUGACAUAUAGUAUUUCAGUUCAUAGUGUAAUUAUUAUUCUUUUUAUAUAAAUUAACAGAAACUACAUGAGUCUGGAUGCACCCAUAUUCUAUUCCCAAACACAACGGAUAGGAUUCCUGAUUGGUUUGAGCACCAAAGCAGGGGAGACACAAUUUCUUUCUGGUUUGAUAAAGAACUCCCUUCUAUUAGCUUUACUUUUAUUCUUAUUAGUCAGGGGGACUACAUGUUACCAAUAGUCAAAUUCUUUGUGAAUGGCUAUGAAAAAGAGAUAAGUUGCGACGAAUUGACUAGGGAAUUCGGUGAGCUAGUGGAUGAUGACACUGUGUUGGAGAACCAUACAACUUUGUUGCAUAUAAAAUUGGAACAAGAUAAUGAACUCGGUGAAAGACUUUUGAAAAAUGAAUGGAUCCAUGUGGAGUUUAAGUUACAGGAUUAUUAUUGGCACGCUGAGAGAAGAUUAUUCAGAAAUACGCAAAUGGGAAUCCACGUGUGGAAGGAGAAAAGCAACAUGGAGGGGGGUGUGAGAUUCAUUGAUCCUUCAUUAUCACAAUUUAUGCAAAGAUUGGUGGAAGUGGGAGUUUCAGAGAAAGGGGAGGAGGAGGAGGGUUUUAGUGACACGGAGGAGGAUGUAAUAUUGAAGAAUCCUAAUAAUAGAAAGACUUGGGGUACAUUCCUUAGUCUAGGUGCAUCAAAAAGCAACACGGAUGGGGAUGAGAUUGAAAUAUUAAGCAGUGCACAAGAUGAAAGAAAGAUGUGGGGUACAUUCCUCGGUUUAGGUCCAUCAUAAAGUUAACCGUCUUCUUGUUAUUCUCUCAAUCUCAACAUUGCAGGUUUGUGCUUUGAUGUUUAUACUUUGUAUAAAUGUUGAUUAAUUUCUGUAUGUAGUCAGUUACAAAUUCAAUGUUUCUAGUUGGAGAAGUUUCUUAAACCAUGAGACAUGAUGUAAGUUUCUGUGUGUCUAACACCGAUACAUGUAAUACUAUUAAACUAUAUUAUUAUCUCAAAGGACUACCAAUGUCAACGAAUCAGUGUCGGUGUCUAGUUCGGUAUCCAUGACUGUGCUGAUGCUUCAAAAUGUCGAAAUGAAAGUUCUGAGUUUGCAAGUGCUUAAAGGUCAACAAGUAGAUUGUCUUACCGUAACUAUACACAUUUCGUAAACUUGUAUUGAUCUCAUUAAUUAUGAUUCAAAUUAGAACUUUUAUCUCAUAUCUCAUCUAACUAAUGGCACAUGUUUUCAGUGUAACCUAUAAAUGUAUGGAUAAUUUAAGUAGUACAUGCAUUUUUAACUUUUUUGAUGAAAUUUAACGUGACUGCAAUUGAAACAUGAUACACAAUUGAUCAAAAUUCCACUAGCUUAUAAGCCCGCACGAGUUUUACAAUGAGCUAAAUGGUUUGUCGAAUAAUCAAUAUCGAUCUUAUCUGUUGCAGCAUAACUCUAUUGUGUUACCCAUCACAUCUAUUUGAAUGCUUGUUACCUUCAGAGAGGAGAAGCCAUAGCUAUCAAAUUGAAUUUUUAUUUAGCUAUUACAUAAGGAUGAUUCAGAGGCAUCAGAAUCCAUCUCUCGCGGCCUUCAGCUACAACCCUUUAGUCCAGAAAUUUUAGAAGGUGUGGUGUAAUUGAACGGAUCCAAGAUUAAUGUUGUUACAAGUAUGAUUCUUAUAUUUUUAAAGAAUAAAUGCUUUUAAUCAUAAUCUGAAAAAGAAAUUGAUUAUUAUGCCAAAGUAAUAUAUUUCUACAUUUGUCAGGAAACCAUUUGCAACUGCCUUUCUUUUUGCAUUGUCAUACGAGAUGUCUAGAGGUGGUGGUUCACACCACAAAAUUCGUUCAAAAGGGAAUCAGGUAAUCAUAUGCUUUGCAGCUCAGUUGUACUUUGGUGUUUCCACAUUGGGUAUGAAUUGAUCAUUUCACAUAAUCCUUCUACAGCUCGACAUAUUUCAUUUCGUUCUAACCAUGCCUUCCGCUGGUGAGGACUUAUGUUUAGAUUAUUUCUGUAAUGAUCAUGAAAUGUCCCUUCUCCCCAAAAAUGCGGCAAAAACAGUCGCUAUUUUGUGUUCUGACAUAGAUAUUUGGUAGAACUAAAGAUGGAACGGGAAGACUUGUUCUAUACUAAAAAAUUUAUAAUGAAAUGUGUCUACUGUUUAUUUUCUAGCUAUGUUCUAAGUUGUUGUUGAUUUAUUUAUGUAAAUGUGCAUACCAGGUCGAAACGACUAUGAAGUGCUGAGUUUCUCAAACUAAACUCUCCUUACUGGGGAAGGAGCUUUCAGGUCUGCAAGAAAUUAUGUGGGAUAAAGAAAUAAAUCCGAGAACCGACAUUCAUGAGAUCCUUUUGCAAGAGUCGUGACUUUUGUUCUCCAAAAUCCAAAUCAGCGUUCUUGGUGUAGUACUCAAUGUACAACUCUGGUUUUGAUAUGGUGAGACCUGAUGUAAUUUUUUAUGGAGGAUGUUUGUGCUGCAUAUAUUGUUUGAAUUCGAUUAUUUCAUUACUGUACAUUUAGAUGCAUGCAUUAGAUUAUAGAAUGAACACCAUUUUAGAAGUACAUGUAAAUUAUGGAGGCCAACCUUGGAUAAUGUAUAUUUGAAUGUUUUAUCUAAAUGUGUUCUGAAAAAGCCAAUAUCAGGAACUUUGAUCUUGCUAACUUUUGUUGUUCAAUGAUUGUUAUUGCACCAAUAUUUCUUAUGCUAAACUGACAGAAACUAUAUUUCUUAUGCUAACUUACAUGAGGAUAGAUGCACCAAUAUUUGUUUUCCAACAGGAACAGAGGGGAUUCCAGAUUGGUUAAAGCACCAAAUCACGGGACACAAUUUUUUUCUGGUUUCGUAAAUAAAUCCCUUCUAUAACUAGUAUUAUUAUUCCCUUUCUGGAUCCGUCCGAUUCAAAUGAGAAAGUAGUCAAUUUGUCUGUCAAAGGCUAUGAAAAAGUAGUCUGGAUUAAAUGAUGUGAUCUGAAGCUGUCACUAGCAGAGUGCAGUAACAGUAAACUAUGGCCAACACUGCAGAGUGCAGUGUGGCAUGACUAGAAGAGAGAGGAGUCAAGGAAAAGUUAUUUCUGUUAUUCACUCGGAACCAUUAGUACUUUCAAAAUUCUACAGAUCUAAAAUAUAAGCCAGACCAUAUGCAUUAUACAGAAUAGAACUCUCAUUUUAUCGGAUGAAAUUUUUCGGUAUCCACAUAUGAUGCAUGUCCUGAGCAAACCUGCAUUCUUUUUUUUUUUUAAUGCAAAAUAAUCACUAACAUAUCCACUUGUUGAUUUGUUGCAAAUAGCUUAAAGUGGUUCUGUAAUAAAGUGAUUUAUCGUCACAUAAACAAGUGACUUAGAAGUGUUUCCUUUGAAUACUCGUGCUGCUGCAUAAUGAUUCUAAUUUUACCAAGCUUAAGUGUUUUAGACCUGAGUUGCACACACACAACAAGCACAAGCAAGUCACUUUAUUUCUGUGUAACGAGUAACUAAGCAGGUCAUGAAGUUGUUACGAGGAACACAACUUAGAUUUUAGAUCUUGAAUACUUGUAAGAGGCAUGAUUCUAUUUGCUGCACAGUUGCUGAUUGUGUAGUUUUAGAUGUGGAUUUUAUCUUGAAUUUUGGUUUAAAGUGUUUAUAGAAUAUUACAAAUACAAACUUCAUAGCCACUGUAUCAAUAAUUAGUAAUCUUUUUGGUGGGAGUGAUCUGGUAAAUUUUGAUACAACAACUUUGAUAGCCUUUGUAUCAGUAAUUAGUAACGAUGUAACAGAGAAAUUUUUGGCUAUUCUCGAAAUGAGCAGAGACAGCAAUCUAAGGGAAACUUUGACUUUGUGAUCGCUUAAGUGAGUUAUCAUUUUUUUUCUUUGCCACCUGCUAUGUGUUUUUUGAACUUUUGCAUAUUCUUGUCCUUCCUAUGAAUCAACUUUAAUAACCUAAAGUUAUAUGGUGUUUUAGUUAACUAUGAAAAUUGAAUAUUUGCAUUGUAUGUAGUGUUUAUAAUCUAUUCUGGUUUUUAUCUGAGUCAAAUGAAUUGACAAAAGCUUUCCUCAAUUUUUUUCGCUAGAUCAGGCCUGAACUUCAAUAUCCAAUCCAUCUGGAAUUUGGUAGAGUCCUAUGUGGGAAGAAUGGCAUAAUUAUCUUUCAGAAUGUAAGCUGGUACUGAUGCUUGGAUCGAUGUCCCUCUCUACUACUGAACAUAGACCAAGGGCCUUAACUGGCAAUUAGUUACACACAUUCAUGGAAACAAGGGUUGAAGCAUUCGCUCGCAAGCAACUCAGGUAAUAGAAUUUAAUUUUUAAUUAAAUGGGUUUGCCAUGAUCAUUCAUCAAAAUUCAAUUGCAUAAAGAUAUAAGCAAAUAUAUUCAAUUGCAUAAUUCUUUUACACAUUAUAAAAGAAGACAAACUAUGCAGUGGGGUCACUAUCACCGUAGUUUUUGGUUGAAGUCAUAUGUUGUUUACUUGUUGGUUUUUCAAGUUCUGACAUGAUAUUAUUUUUCUUCCCAUUUCCAGCUGAACUACUUUACGUGCUUCAAUUUUUUUCAAUCACUGCUAAAUUUUAGUGGAUAAGAAACAAAUGAAUCUAAAAAAUUUACGAUCAACCAAAUUCUGUUUGGAGGUGAAUGUUUCUUCAUAAUCUAACUUUGUAAAUGAAUUUUAAGUGAUUUGAAAACAUGGAAUAAGGUCUUCAAUAAAUAAAUAUGUAUCAGGUGCUUUUGGUUCAGUUUUAGACUUUUAGAUGGUAGGGAUCGUGCUUUUGGUUUGAUUUACAAUUAUUGUUUCUUGUACUGCUAUUGUGUAGGUCAGUGUUUUGUACUUUUUUUUUUGUUCCUUAUCUAAGUUUCUAUGGUCGGUCUUUUCGACUAUAAUGGAAUAAUACAUGUUAUGCUACUGCAAUGUAGUUAUUGCUUCUAGCAUGGCAUUUACUAGGCUGAUUUGGUCUUUUCGAACUCAUCCAAGGACUGCAGGAUUUGGAGGACUUGAUCGGAAUUAUGACAAAGCUUUUCAAUUUGGAUUUUAUGGAAGUAUAGGUUGGUCAAAUAUCCUUCAUGCAGAAAUUCAGGAUCUCCUUGUUGGUCUCAAGUUGUGGUGGAAAGCCCGGAAGUUUAUAUGCUAUUAUGAUUCUCUUCACGUGGUGCAGUUAGGUUCAAUGAACACUCAUCACUUUCACCAUUAUGCCAAUAUGUUGGAGAUUUAUCAGAGCUUACAUGAAGAAAGAUUGGAAUUUUUCUCUCCAUCAGACUUUUCCCGAGGGCAAUGCUUGAGCAGAUAUUCUAGCGAAAUUGGGAGUUAGUUGUAUAGAUACCUUGGUUACGGUCUACAUGCUGCCGCAGUUCUUCUCCUCGGCUUUGUUAGUUAAAAUUGUUGGAAUGUCCUUUAUUAGGACUUAGUAACCAAAAAGAAAAGGUUGAUGGAAAAACUUAAAUGGAUUUGUUGAAACCACCACAACCCUUUAUGUUGAUACCUUGCAUUCUCAUGUUACUAUGCCUCCAUUCCCCGAGUAAUACAGUGACUUCAAUCAAAUCCCAUAUAUAUAUUUUAAUCUUAUGGUCUCCUUUUUAAUAUGAUUGUCAAAUAAGAGGUUAAUGCAGAAAGUGAAUAUAGUUAGUUUGUGGUUCUAAUUGUGUUUUACCUCUUUAUAUCAAAUUGGUGCAAUUUUUACUUUCUAUGCUUUGGUUAGAUGUUAAUUAAUAUAUUUAUUUUGCCUCUUCAAAACAAACAAAAUCUAGAAAAGAGAAUUGUAAUGAAACAUUUUACCUCUAAGCAUUAUGUCCAAAAAGUGUUACAAACUUGAAUCAAAAAAGAAAAUAUUUUACAAUCAAACUACAAUUCAUUAUGUAUCAAUUUUACAAACCAAGUAAUGAGAUGGAGGGAGAGGAGAGUCCCUGCAACCAUAGGCGACCACAUCAGUGUCAUCAUCCACUACUGUCGGUGCUUGAGUUCCACUGUGUCUCCAUCAUAUUUGUGAGAGUUAACUUAAAAUCAGAAUUCUGGAGAAUCGUGCCACGAUGGAGAAGCUUCGUGCCACGAUUGUUGAAGCAAAAUUCUGGAGCAAUCACUGGAAAAAUCGUGCCACGAUUGAAUCGCAUCGUGGCACGAUGGUGCGAUUGAAGAUAAAAAUAAAACGUAUUUUUAUUGAAGAUUUGUUUCAGUUUUUUAAGGGAUUACUUUCACUAUAAAUAUAGACCUUGUAUCACAGUAUUUCUUGGAGAGAGAUAGAGGGGGCUGAAACAAGGGUUUAGAAUGGCAACAACAAAACUAGAGUUUGUAUAGAGUUUGUCUCUUUGGAAACACUAGGGUUUGAGGGUUGAUUCACCUUGGGAAACACUAUUAGGAUUGAGUCUCUUGGUUACGGGAAGAGGCUGGGACUUUGGGUAGAAUUAGGCGGGAGACUUAUUCUUGUAACCCAUUGACUUCUCUUUGUAACGUUACUCGUUAUAUAGUGGAUCGGAGGGCUGCUCUCUCCCCAGACUAGGUCAAUUUGGACCGAACUGGGUCAACAAAUUAUUUUGUGUUCUCUAUUCUUUUGUUCUUCUUGCUGUUGUUUUCUACUUUUGGCAUGUGAUUAUAACUGUUCCAUACGCUUUGAUUUUGGUUGCUUGACUAUCCCUUGCUCCACACAUCAAGUUGUUAUUGGUGUGAUUUUUCUCAUCGAAUUCACAACAAUAUUGUGUCGUUCAGUCAUCGCCGAUGUAAGAGAAACCAGGUGGUCGUUUUGUCGCCGGUAGUCCGCUGCUGCUAUUUUUCCCUCUCCUGAUUUCUCCCUUCCCCUCUCAUGUCUCACAUAUAAUCUUCCUCCAUCUCUUUUUCUGUCUGAUUGUUCGCAUAACAAUGCAACAAAACAUGAGAGUUGGCAAGAGUAUAAUCCAUGCAGCCAGAAUGAGAACAAUGCUGCUAUAACAUGUUAAAGUUACCAAACAUGUCAUAAGAAUUGGAACCAAUAAAUGUCAUGCUUAAUAUCAUUGAUAGCAGUGUGUUUUACAUCAACAAAAAAAAAAAAAAUGAACUCUCACAUAGAAGGCUGUGUGAUAUUGUGAAGUCCACUUGUAUGUAACUUGUCAUUGCUCAAUGAACAGAGCUUUGAGCGAUAAUUGUGUAGUACACAUUGUCACAAGCAUUACUUGGAACAAUUAGGAUCAUAUAUGUUGGAUCUAUAAUACAGAAAAAAGAAGGCAACUUUCUGAGAGUGUGUGUGCACGUGCGCACUUGUCGUGGAAGAUCAAAUUGAUAAUUAUAAGCGGCAGAAAUAUCUUCAUAAACAUUUAUCAGAUAAGAGAAAAUUGGGAAGGAACAAACACAUCAUAUUCGGUAAUGGCUACUUUUGAGCACUUGUACGAAAUUCAAAAUAACUAUCCGACAUUCAUAAGUGAUGUUACAUUGAACUUAAGCUACUUAUGAAAUGGCAUUCUCAAGACCUAAGGGAUGGCAAUGCAUCUUUGAACUUUUUCAGAAGGAGAAAACAAUUGGAAACAUUUUAAAAUCAAGCAAAACAGAAAACCAACAUUCUGUCACAAUCCUAGACAAUUUUAUCAUAAAAGACAAGUAGUGCUAGUGAUGCAGGCGAUAGUAUUUCAUCCGGUAAUCAUAGGAUAAAUGAGCAUUUCUGUAACACUCAGACGGAACAAAGAAAUCAAGAAGAUGAUGCAGUCGAAGAUCAUACUGAAGAGCACAAAGCAUAUACAACAAAUAGAACAAAAAAACACAGUCAAUAAAGAUUUGGUAUCAGCUGAUUAACUGUAUCGCUAUGAAAAACAAAUUGUAUGAACACUGUAAGGACUUAGUUAAGAAUCCAAAUUCAUUCAAAAGAAAUUGAAGCUUCUAUAGGUUCAUCCUCAACUUUGCCAACUUAAAAUGAAAUUUAUGUGAGAGAUAUAUGAAUACAAAAGAUAUUCGAAGAGAAUGUUCUUAAAUCACCAUAACUUAUAACUUGAUAAAUAAAAAAGAGAGAUGUGACAUAUUGUUAUUUUGUGUUUUGCUAACCAUGUUUGUUUGUGAUUUUAUUUUAGUGUUUUAUUAUGCAGGGUGUCAUGCAGGAAGCGCGGUGGCAUCCAAUUCACAUCUAACUUAGUGCUGAUCAACAACGUUGCAGUGCAGUGGAUAUUGUAAAGACUUAUGUGAAGGGAUCAACAACCGGGUGGAAGCCAAUGAGCAGAAACUGUCUUGGCCGGUGAGUCAAUGUCAGUCUUUCAAAGUUACUAAUAGUGAAUGUCACAAAUCUAUGUUGGUUAAACAACUUCAGAACGAAAAAAUGUUGAGAAUUGUUGCAAUACCAAGAACACUAUCUGGAACACUAAAUCAGACAAAACCAUGUUCAUAAUUUACAGUUUACCCUCUUACAUAAGUUACUAAAACACUAUCUGGUGUUUCUACCAAAACUAAUUUACAGAUUAUAAAGUUUUCCAUAUAUAAAUUAUUUCUACUUAAAGCUAGAGGUCAUUCGGUAAAGGCAAAAGGUCAUUCAUUUUAUUGAUAUAGAAACCAGAUAUGUUUGCGAAUAAAACGAGUAAGAUUCAAACUAAAAAUGCAAAAGCAAGAUCAAGUAGUUUCUUAGUAUACUUGACAAUCAUAUACUUCUUUGUGAAAAGUAAGAAAAAUUUGCCUUACUUCAAUAUUUGUACGGUAGUUUAUUUUAUCUCUUAUCUCAAUAUUUGUGUGUAAGCUGCAUUUUCCAAAGGCUUUCUUAGUUAUGUUAUUUGAUGAAAAAAAUUAUAGGGACUAAAACUUGAAAUUUAAAAUUUUUAUAGGAAUAAAAAAAAUACAUUUAACAUUUUUUUUAAACAUAAGUUCUGGUAAUAUUUGCACAUUGACUACUUGAGUUCUCAAGAUGCCGCUGGUUGAAUAGAAGACUGCAGCUGGUUGCUGCAACUGGGUGUAACACUCCUAUUUCUAUUUAAGCAAUUAAACAUGCGAAUAAUACAUUUAUUUAAGAAAUAGAGAUUACGUCUUAUUCAAAAUUCAAAAACCGAUAGACAUAUAUAUGAACUUCAACAGUCGUAGCGGAAUAUAAAUCAGAGUGAUCAAAUAUAUACAUGCCAUGAGCAAAUAAAUCAUGUUUCAAGGAUAAAUCUCAAAACCCAAACAUACGGUAGUCAUCAACAAAAUCAUAAUCCAACAGAAAAUAUAAACAACCUAAUCUAGACCGACACGACAAGCCUAGAUCAGAGCCGACACGACCCGAUAUCGGAGAAAGCUCCCGAUAUCCCACGCAAAGACUCACCGAGCACUACUCCUGCACAACGUCUACUCACCCAUACAGGCAAGUAGGCUGUUAAAACCACUGAGGGUAAGCAUUACAUUAUCAUAAUCCAGAUAAAUAUCAAUCAAAUAAUAUCAUGUACUUGAAUAAUAUUAGUCAUGCAUAAAUACUUACAUCACAACUCGAUAUCUAAUAUCAACAUACAUCAAUCACAUAAAUAAUUACCCAACCAUAAAUAUUCAUUCACAACACCAAUCAUUAUCAACAUACAUCAAUCACAUGAAUAAUUACCCAACCAUAAAUAUUCAUUCACAACACCAAUCAUUGAACAAUCAUUAUCAACAUUCAUUCAUUUCGUUUCAUCACCAAUCACAUAUUUCACAUAGGACUCAUGUUAUGAUAUGCACUUAUGGACGCAUAAAUGCAUGUGGUACCAAAUCUCAACAAGGUCGUCACCUUUCGAUGCCACUUGCACAUCGAAUGUAAGGGCUCACACCUGCCUUACAAUAAUCUCGAAGUAAAAGAGUCAUCCCUUUUACAGCAACAACGACUAUGAUGCAUGGACAUGUGUAAUGACUCGAUAAUGCAACAACAAUUCUCAAUCUCAACUCAAUAUAUAGGACAACACCCAAUUAUAUUGAUUAUCUCCACAACAUUGCAUUACCAAGAAAGCAUGCCCACACACAAUUAAAUCAUAGUAUUCAUCAUCACACAUCAACAUAUUUAUCAAUAAUCAACAAUGUCAUCCAACAUCAAUUACAUGAUUUUCAAUAAUCAACAAACAUCACUUAUCACGUAUGAUUUUACAAUUCAAGAAUUCUCAUAUUCCAAGUAAGAUAGCAUACACUUCUCAUGAUAAUUAUCAUAUCCAAAAUACAAUCAUUCAUUCAUACAACUUCACUUAGUCAUACAAGAAUGGUCACAACAAUUCAUAAGACAAUACAACUUCAAGAUUCACUAGACCCCCUUUUCACAAGGUUAAUUCUUCCAUAAAAACAGCCCUAGAUGAUUAGGAUAAAGUCCCUAUACAUAGAAAUAAGUUUGGAAACAAUUGGAUCAAAGAAAAUUGCAUUUUUAAAGUUUCUGGUCAGGCAAAAUCGUAGUCCAAUUUUUCUCCAUCGUAGUACGAUUUUUUUCGAACUGAAACACCCAAAAAUCUGGUCAAAAUCGUAGCCCGAUGAAUAAAAUCGUAGUCCGAUUUCUGCCUGACAGACAAUAUCAGAUUUUCCAAUUUUCACGUUUUCGCAUGUAAAAACCAAACUGUUAAUCCGUUUUCGGUGCUGUUUUCCUCUACUUGUUCAUGACACUUAGCCCUAUCUUAAUAUGCAGAAAAUUUCAAGUUUCAACAUUCCCAAAUUCAUUUUCCAAAACCCUACACAACACUCAUUUUCCAAAACGGUUAACAAUUGAAUUUUCACCCGAAACUCCCGUUUUCUUCCAAAACGACUCGACUAUCAUAACUACAACCUAAAAACAGAAAUUCCAUCAAGUUUAACUCAUCCAACCACAUAGACAACUCAGUUAACAACUUUGUAUAUCAAAUUUCACUUUGUUCCUUCACUUGAACAUCUAGCACAACUUCACCAAUACAAACAACUUAUUUCAUAAAAUGGAAUACUCAUGAUAUCAUUCAAUAACAACAACAUAUCUACUUCAACAACACUUCAUUUAGACAUGAAUUCAACCAUAAUUCAACAACACAAUAUCUCAAUCCAACAAUUGAGCAAAACACAUAAGUAUUCAUUUUCACCCAACCAACAACAACAACUUAUUUCACAACAACAAUUAUGAAUCAUGCAUACCCAAACCAUGAAUUAGCAUCCAUAACAUCACUUAACAACAACAACAUCUAUUGAUCAUGAAACUUAUCACAAUUCAUCAACAACCAUGCAUAAUUCACCAAUUGAGCAUAAUUUACAAACUACCCAUUUUCAUACAUUAUGAACUUGCAAUUUCAUCAUCAACAAUUCAUUUAACAUCAAAUUAACAUAUUCAAACAUAUCUCUACAACAUAAGCACGAAUUUCAAAGAUUGGGUUCAUGAUAAUCACUUAUUCUCAUAAUCAAUUAUGCAUAGAAUCAAGAGAAAAAGAAUUAAUCAAAUGAUUAUGAUAAAGACUAACCCCCUUACCUUAGGUAAUGCUCAAUCUAAACUUAGGCUUCACUUUAGCUCCUAACCUCACUCCAAUCUUGAUUCUUCAAGCUCUCCCUCUUCUUCUCUUCUCCCACUUUCUCUCUCUACCUCUCUUUAGGAAAUAUCUUGUGAAAUGAAUGAAAUGAUAUUCUCCUAAGAUAACUCAUUAGGUUUAACUCUUAAUGGGCCUAACCUAGUUUCUAGUGGGCUUAACCCAUUUCUAUUCAAACCAAAAAUAUUUCUACACUUCAAACGAUAUUAACUCAUAACGGUAAAAACUAAUCACUACACUGAUAACUUAGUAAAAUAAGGGUUCUCACUAACUAUUAAAAUAAUUCUCACCAAAUUACCAUGUUACCCUUACCCGCCAAAUGACCAAAAUACCCUUCUAAUACGGUAAUCCAUGUAAUAAUUAAAAUAAAUCUAGCUAAAAAUCGGGCUGUUACAUUGGGGCCAUGGAUGUUCUUAUACCAGACCUUCAUUUGAUAUAUUCAAGGUCACAUUUCUCUUUGCAUCCACACUACCGUUUCUAUUUGAAAACUUGGAUAAUGAUAUAUGUCCCGGAAAAAUUACUCGCGAAAGCAUCACGACUCCCAACAGCUGAAGUUCAUUUGCGAUGGUGUCAGAAAUGUUUGCUUCAUGAUGAAUAGCACUGCCCUUUGAACUUUUAGGCAGCAUCUGACUUUGGUAAUGGUAUUAUUUUUCCAUAAAUCUCAAAGAAGCUAGAAAAGAGGCUUUAAAAUAGUCCCACGUCGACCCAACAAGUAGCAAGCUAUUGUUAAUGAAUGAUAUGGGUGUUAUAAAGAACACCUCAUUGCUCAAGUUAAAUGAUACCAGACAUGGUCUACCAGGGCUAUGAUUUUUACACAACCAAUGAUACACUCCAUCCAUAUAGACAUGGGUGUUACGAAGAAUGCGACAUUAAAUGUUGAAGAUGCAACAUGUGCCGUGCUGUGCUCACGGUGACAUUUGGUCAUACACGCUUUUCAAUUUCUAAAAGUUAUUCAAUGUCAAACAAAUUUACACAUGCAUAUAUAAGCUUAGUUCCUCGUAAACCUCUUCCGUAGAACUUUGAAAGUUAGAUUAAUCUAACAUAUAAGAAGAUCACAUCUUGAUCAUUAGGUCAAUCAAACAGACAAAAUUUGGUAAUACAUUAUUCAAGUAGACCACUGAACAAGUCAUUGAUAAUACAUUCAAACUAAAAACUGCAUAAUUAAGCAUAAUUAAAUUAAGGCCAAGUUUUCUAUUAUCAUGUCUUAUGAACAUGAGUGCUGGAAAAAAUCACAGCUCUAUAAUAAAUACUGCUUAUAAUGCAUGAGAAAUGAUAACAAUUAGCAUGCAAUCGCAGAGAAGAUGCGACGACUUAUUUCAUCAACGGAAAUUUCUUCUGAAGAAUGGCCAUCUGCUACUUGUCCAAUAAGUUUUUAUCUUUUUCAAGUCUUCAUUCUCACUCUUAUAUCAGGUAUCAUUACAGAAUUCCAUUCCAUCUCUCUGUCAUUCUGUUCAUAAAAAUUCAAGCAAACAUAUGAGAGUUAGCAAUAGUACCAUUCAUGCAGUCAGAAUGUGAUCAACAAUACUAGUAUAACAUGUUUAAGCAAGUGCAUUUCCAGAUAGCGCUCGGCCAUAACAAAAAAUAUCAUGAAUUUCAAUCUUCUAAAGUGAGAAAAUCAAGGGUUGUAAUUUUAAUACACCCGUGAUUUGUUAUGAUGUAUCUACAACAGUGGCGGAGCCAUGUGUGUACUGGGUAUGGCCAUGACCUACCCACUUAUUAUUGAAAAUACCAUAAUACCCCUGGUUAAUUUUAAUAUCACUGCCAUAUGCUAACAUCUAGCUAAGAUCCUACUUUGUGAAAUCGCAGGUACUAUUUUUACAAUUCAUAUCUUAACAUAAUUAAGGAAAAUGUCAGUGUCCAGUUAUUUAUUUAUUUUUUGGUUCUGCGUCUGUUGAAUUGGGUUUCACAGAUAACACUACUGCUGCUGUAGCUAGUGCUGCAGUUAGUGUUACUUCUGGUGUUCUGCUAGAUAUGAACAAUUAGUGUAGAGCCCAAUUGAUGUUAUGAGUCAAAGACUAAUGUCAAGGCAGUUGUAAUGGUAGUGGUGGAAAGAGUAUUUUGGAUUUUUGGUUAAUCUUUAUUUUCUGAGAAUUAUAGAAAUGGUUUUGAUGUGUUAUAGAAAAUUCUUUAUGCUUAUGGGCAAGAGAAUUCUCUAUUUCAAUAUUGACUUAUGAAGCAUAUAAUGUUGUUUGUUUGACUUCUUACUCUAUGGUUCAUAGGUUCAUAUGGGGUAGUUUUGGUUCAUGUUUGACUUCUUACAUCAUUUUGAUAAUUUUAUUUCUUUGCAAUAGAAAAAUCAAGAUGGAGAAUAAAAAAUUUCAUUCAUUUUACACGAGGAAGGCCAAUGAUAUUGAAAGAUAAGAAGACCUUAUAAUUUCUUAAUCUCAACCUGAACAAGUUUGUGAGAAUCCAAGAAUUGAAGAAAAUGAGCCUUGUCAGUUUAUAUUGAAAGGGAAAGUUAGUGUAUCUAUUAGUUCCGAGUCAGUUAUUGAUGAUUUCAAGUCACUCGGAAAACGUAAAGUGUCACUUUAAAUAUUUAAUUACUGAUUUUAUGUAUUAUGUAGUUUAAAUUUUGAAUUAUCGAUUUUUGAUUUAUUACAACAUAAAUAUGUUGUAUGUAAAUAUGAUUUAUAUAUUUUAGUUUAUUUUGAUGGUGGCCAUCCCUAAUAUUUUUGUCCGGCUCCGCCAAUGAUCUACAAUGUAUCUCUUUAAUAUGUUAAUUACUGAAAGUAAAUGUACCUUAUAAAAUAGAAGAAUAAAAACCAAUGAGUAAUACAACUACUGCAAUGAAAUGUAUCUCAGAGUAUAUGGUAUGUUAACUCCCUACAUAUCUAAGUAUAUGCAAUGAUACACACAGUAUAUUUCACCACCUAUAGUAUAUUUCGACAUUAAGCAUAGAUAAAAUUUAACAAAAAAAAAAAACAUUAAGUAUAGAUACACUAUAUUCCAGUACCACCCCUUCAAUGUUACACUAUCAUAGAUCCUCUGUUACUCAAUUGUAACUAAUAUACAAUUAAGUUCAAUUAUACAUUUCUUCUGUUACUUAGCAGAAACCCUUGCCUCUCCAUUCACCCCUUUAUUGAGUUUUAAUUCAAGUGAUAGACUUAGGAAUGAUUGGUUAGUUACUAAGUUUAAACAAACUCAGGAAGUUCCAGUGCAAGUAACUACACUAGAGUUAAUUAGUUCAGAAAGCAUAUGGCUUUAUUAUGAACCAAAGACAUCAACACGGACACUUAACAUGACACAGACAUGUUGGCACCACUAGUAUAAAGACAUUCUAGCUUCUAGGUAAACGGGUGACUCUGGAGUUAUGCAACACUUCACACUCGAGCUUGUUCUUAUCAUGUUCAUCAAUGUCAGCUUCCUAAAUACCAUAAAAAGCAAAUCCAUUGUUACCUAUGAACCACAGACAUCAACACAGACACCUACACAAACAUGUUGACACCACUAGGUUAAAGAUAUAGGACACUGACACCACUAGUUUAAAGAUAUAGGAGACUGACACCGCUAUAUGCAUUUAUUUAUUUAUUUAUAAAAUAUCAUAAUUGAGAACUAAAAUAUAUACAACAAGAAAGCUGAAAAUGUUAUAUCAAACUUAAUGUCUUUUCUUGUGUUUUAACUUGAGCUCUGAUUAGAUGAAUUUUGCAUGGCACUUCUGGUAGUUAUUGAACAUGCUGUUCUCUUGUAUGAUAGCGAAACGUAAAGAAUUUUGCUGAUUAAACCUGCUUUUGAGUAAUCCAGUUACUCUGUAUAUUCUUUAGUACAGUGAAUAUUUUUUCAUGGGAUUAUUAUGUUACUUGUAGGCGGGGUAAUACUGAUAGUUAAUACGUAUUUUCAUCAUAAUUAGAUUUAGAUUGCUACUUUCUAGACCAACUAACCUGACAGCGAAACUGUUAACUAGUUAAAUAAAGAAAGCUAAGAUCUCACAUCGUUGAAUUUAACGUGUUACAACUUACAAUAGUUCUUGGAACAGGAAUUUUAGAAUUUUUUAAACUUGGCCAUUCUAAGACGAUGGUGAUGACAAUGAUAAUCACAAACAUGCCUUAUCAGCGAUAUAUAUUUAAAAUCGUGGCCCGGAACUAUCCAUAAUUUGGAGAAUAAUUCUAAGAAAUAAAGACAAAGCUUUGAGUUUCCGGUGUAUUAGCAUAUUUUAGCAUAAAACUACUUAGACGGUGUACACAAUUUUAUUAGCAUAUUUAAAGAUAACCUAAAUAAUUUGGUCCUCUAUCUCUACUUGAAGAAUCAGCAACAAAUUUGUUAACCAAAAAAUAUUAUGCAUUAAUAUAAGCAAUGUUCAGAAUCAAAUCUAAUGUUUCAGCUUAUAUCUAGUAAAUACAGCCUCACCACCAUUUUCUCCACCGAUAUCUUUGUCUACCGCAUGUAGUCAUAUGCAAUAGACAAUCCUUUCCAUUAAUUGGUAACCUUUCCAUUAAUUUGUAAUCGGAUAGUCUGAAUCACACAUUCAAAAAAUCACCUUUAAAUAAUCUCAAAUAUCGAUAAAGAUUUGACUGUCAAUAACAGUUUUACCGUGACACACAAACCUUAUGUUUUAUUAUCAUUAUUAUAUUAUAAAAUAUAAUAGCAAGUGAUGUGAUGUGAUGAUUACACAAGUUUAGCGACUUGGGUUCAUUUAAUUUGGACCAGUUAUACUUUAGGUUGAACUUGGACCACUCAAAUGACCUACAAAUGUAGGUUUGAAACCGGUCAAAAGUUAUGAAGCACACAACAAGUGAAUCGUACCAACCUCGAAGCUAUUAUUAUUGAGAAAUGAUAUUUGUACAACCAUUUUGUGGCAAUUUUUGUACAACUUUAUCUCUCAUACUCACAUUAUAAUUUUAUUCUCUCUCUUCAUUUUUCUCUCUCCUUUAUUUUUGACCAAUAGAAAGAGAGAAAAAUGAAGUUGUCAUGGUAGUUGUCAAAAAUGGUUGUUCAAAUAACACAACUCAUUUUUUUUUUUUUGGUACAUCACUACUCAUUAUUAUUAUUAAAUUUAAAAAUAAAUAGAACGGUCUCAUAACUAUUAAAAUUUAUAAAUCAAAGAGUUAAAAUUAAAAAUUUAAAUCUUUAAAAAAAAAAAAUUAAUAAAGUCUAUGGUACAUCAUCCACAGUAUUGAUCCAGUUUAAACGUUUAGUGUUAAAAAUUUAAAGGAGAUGACCAAUGACCGGGUAUAUAUAAGGGAGUAAUUUACAAAUUUUAAUAACUAUGAGAUUAUUUCAAAACAAAAAUUAAGCAGCAACAAGUAUUUCAAUUCUUCUGAUGUGAAUCAUAUUAUCUCAGUUCUUCUCCUCUUCUCACUGACGACUCACUCGCCUCACCCUAACGUCUGUAUUAUCUCGUCUCUCUCACCUCUUGUUGUUAGAUAAGCUAAGGUAAGCCAAUCGAUUCUCCAAUUUCUCAUUUCUUCUCUAUUUGAAUUGGAUUCAAGUUUUUUGUUUUAAUGUGCUCCAAGUGUUCGACAAAAUGCCUGAAUGAUUAAAUUUCUGUUACUUUAAUGGUGAGAAAAGACUUUGUAUGUACGUUUGUUUGUAUUUAAUUAUUUAUGGUUCUAAGUUUGUUUCAUUUUGGAGCAUAAUUUGAAUGAAAAGAGAUGAUAUGAAUCAUUACCAAUUACUUUGUUUUUAAUUGUAAAUGUUUCUAUUUGUAUAAAUUUUGUGCAUAUCACUUGCUUGAUAAUUUGCAUGAAAAAGGAUGCGAUGAAUCAUUAACAAUUACUUUGGUUUUAACUGUUAAUGGUUCUAUUUCUGAGUUUUGUUUACGUGCUAGGGUUGUAUACGUGUUUGAUGUGAUUUAAUUAGGUAGAAGAUGGAAGUUUUGUAUGGAACUUGAAAUUUUCUUGAGGAAGUUUUAUAUGCAAAUCUUGAUAUUGUAAGUGAUGUGAUGUAAGUUUAUGAUAAGUGAUGAUAAUGUUGUAUUAUCUGACUAGUAGCUGAUAGGAGUCUAGUGAGAGAACUUCUGUUAAUGGGGAUUAAUCCUAGAGCUAAGUAAUUGUAAAUAUAACAUUGAGGAGGUAAAAAUUUCUGCAUGUUUUUGUUGCUAAAAAGAAUGCUACUGUUGUAAAUACCUUAGGCCAAAACUCUGUCUUCCAACUUCGUCUUCUUCUUUCCGCAACGAAACGUUACGAUGAACAUGCUGGAUUGUUCUCGAAUCUAAAAGGUGCGAAAAAAUUAUCCUCCCUAAUCCUCAUGUUAUUUAAAUUAUCCUUACCCAAACAACAAGUUUUGUCUAUAAUGUUAGAAUUAAUUUGAUUUUAAUGAGUUUUAAUGGGUGGAACGGUGGAUUUUGUGUCUAUAUUUUAAAGCUGAAAAAGUUAAUUUAAGCAUAAAGUAAUAGAGAGUAUUGAUUUUUGUAUUUAGUCCUUUACUUGUGUGAUAAUAUGUGCAGGAACCAAGCCAUGGCCUCCAAGCUGCUUUUGCAGAGAAGGCUCUUCAGGUUCUUGCGACAGUCACAACAAUCCUCAUACUCCUUUUCUUCUUCAUCUUCCAUUCAACGAUCCUCGUUCCAUUCUGCGAAACAAACAGAAAUAUCGGGUUUCUCAACUUUCUCUAGAAGCUUCUGCUCUCGAAAGUCCAGUCUUGUUGAUGAAUCUAAUGCCCCCGCACCUAUUGAUUACACGUAUGACACAUCCUUUUGUGUUUUUCGUCCCUUUGUCUCAUUUGAUCCGUGAAAACUCUGUAAAUUUGAUUUUUUAGAUACUUUUUUUUUAAAAGCAAAAAAAUAAAAAAAAAUUGUCCCUCUGAAUUUGAGUUUUUUUUUUUUUUUUUUUUUUUUUGAAUAAGGAAAGUGUUAAAAUAAUAUUAUUGAAAAUCCAAAUGUCAGUGGCAAUUGCUAAUGCCUCGCGGGCCAUUAAUGCGUAGUGUUGAUUGAAAUAGAUGUUGUGUUUUGUUUAUUCCUUUCAAAUGGCUGGUAUGCUUUUGCUAUUUGCUAAUGAUUAAUAUGGAUGCAGUUCUCUACUGCAGGAGGGUGAAUUCCAUAGACUGGCCGAGUCCACAAUACAUAGCCUUCAAGAGAAAUUUGAGGUAUCUAUUCUCUAGCACUCCUGGAAACAGCCUCUUGUGUAAAACAGGGUAAGGCUGCGUACAAUACACCAAAUGAAGGGACCCCUUCCCGGACCCUGCAUAUGCGGGAGCUCUAGUGCACCGGGUUGCCCUUUUUAUUCUCUAGCACUGUUUUGAGUUUUACACGAACUUAAAUUUAUUAUAUGAUACGACAAUCUCGGUAUCCACUUCAAAUUAUGUAUUUGAUCUAACAAUUGCCAACAUUAUUUGAUAAAUAUAGAAUUUUGAUACAAUUAUGCUUAAAUUCAAAUGUGUUUCGAUAAAAUUAGUAUUGGUUGUGAUGGAAACUUGACAGUGACAAUGUUACACUUCAUAUUAUUUAAGAGUUUAAACUACAUUGGUUAUUAUUUUGGUUUAUUGUUACUUGGCAGGACUAUGGAGACUUUAUCGACCUUGAUGGAUUUGACAUAGACUAUGCGGUGAGAAACUUAUUUGGAGAGUAUGUUAUAGUUUUAUAGAAGAUAGGUAGCAAGCAGCUAAAAUUAUUUCUUAUAUAAUAUCCUACAACUUAUGUAUUUUAGAAGACAACACGGAAGCUAUCUUGUUGUAUGUGAUUAUUUCAAAAAUAAUCACAUCGAUAACUUGAUAACCUUUUUUAUCGAUGAAACUCAGUUAAGUAGUUUGAUCUUUUGAAAAUUAAAUGCUUUCUUUUCCCUGUUAAGACUUUAAAUAAUUUAUUCCUAUUAGUUUUAAGAAGCAUCAUCCCUGUGUCUGUGUGGGAGAUAUACUAAUUGUUAACAUGGCUUUCCUUUUCAGAAUGAUGUUUUGACUGUCAAACUUGGGGAGUUGGGCACCUAUGUAUUGAACAAACAAACACCAAACAGACAACUUUGGCUUUCUUCACCAGUGAGGUAUUUUAUUGUAUAUAUGGUUUUUUUUUUUGGUUUUUUUUUUUAAGAUGUAUAUUUUUUAUAUCAGGUUUUACUCUCUACUAGCCAUCAGUAUUCAUGUAGUAAGUAUAUGGCAUGUGAGUACUUCAUAGAAAACUACAAUAUCCAUGCUUACUUAAUAUUUCCUAGGAUAUCAUUACUAAAUAUGAACUGGAGAUAACAAAUCCAAUUAGUAUUGUAAACAAUCUUCUUUAAUCAAACAGGCUAUUUAUAUGUUAAUAGUUGUGUAUUUAUUAAGGCAACCCUAUUGGGAAAAACCCAAGUCCCACAUCGGAUAGAUAAGACUCAUGAUAAUAGUUUAUAAAGAGGAGACACUCCUCACCUUAUGAACCGCUUUUGUAAGGAUGAGUUAGGCCCCAAAUUUCAACAUGGUAUCAGAGCUUGUCGAGUUCAAAGGGCACCUACCUAUCCACGCACCAAGUCUAAAAAGAGUGAUGGGCGUGAGGGGGUGUAUUGGGAAAAACCCAAGUCCCACAUCGUCUUGAUAAGACUCAUGAUAAUAGUUUAUAAAGAGGAGACACUCCUCACCUUAUGAACCGCUUUUGUAAGAAUGAGUUAGGCCCCAAAUUUCAACAUGGUAUCAGAACUUGUCGAAUUCAAAGGGCACCUACCUAUCCACGCACCAAGUCUAAAAAGAGUGAUGGGUGUGAGGGGGUGUAUUGGGAAAAACCCAAGUCCUACAUCGGAUUGAUAAGACUCAUGAUAAUAGUUUAUAAAGAGGAGACACUCCUCACCUUAUGAACCGGUUUUGUAAGAAUGAGUUAGGCCCCAAAUUUCAACAAACCCUGUGUAAUUGAAGUUUUACAUAUGUUGGUGUUUCUUGUCCUUCGCAUGUUGGUCUUUCUUAUCUUAUUGGUGGAGAAGAAAGAAGCAAGGAUUUGAAAACUUGUAGAAACUUUCCCUUUGGUUUAAUUGCUUUAUUUGAAGUGUUAUCUUAUAGUUUCUUUGUGAGGAAAUUGAGGAUAUAUACAAUAUUUUAUCAGGGUUCAUUUUUAAUGUUUUUCUUCAGGAGGAAAGUACUGUUAUGUAAAUUGAAUCUGAGCUCACGGAAGAAAUGAGUAUAGUAGUAAUUUUUAAUAUUUUCAAUUCUAUUAAAAUAUAGGUUUAGUUCUUUGCAUUGAGAGAUGUUACUAUCUUGUUAUGUAGCAAGAGCAUAUGCAGACCUUGUUAUAUAGCAAGAACAUAUGCAGACCGAUCUUGUCUGUUUGUACCAUAAGAAAUGGUAUCUUACUCUUGUUGUAUCUCCGUUCAAUGCUAUUUUGAUUAUCAAUAAAGAAGUAGGACGCAUUCAGCCUUAACUCUUUAAGUGACAUUAAUUAUGAUCGAUUGUAGCCACCGGAAUUUUCUUAUCAUUUUGGAGGAUUCUAAGACUCUCAUGUCGGAGAGUCUCACCUAAUAAGUGAAACUUAUAAGGAGUUUUCCCAUCUAAUAGUCUAGUCUUUUAGAUGAGCUCUCCCUUUGCGAAAACUUGAACUCGAUAUGAGCAAUGUGUUUUUGUGAUCCUUCUGUGGGGGUCAAGUUUUAAAACCCAUAUUAGAAAAAGCACACAGAUUGUGCAAAAACUAAACCUUGUCACUUAAGUUUGUCCCUGUAAUCCUAACUCCUAAGCCUCUUGCAACUGCUGUUCAACAGCCCUAAUUUUUGUUUGUGGGUUCUUUAUUUGAUAUGAUCCCUCCGUUUUCCGUUAUCCAUAUGCAAGGGCUUCCUUUCCAGUUCUACAGAGAGGUUGCUACGUGUUCUUCUCCCCUGCUAUACAGCCACUCAUCUUCCUUUUUCCAUGCGCUGCUGCGACUGCUCUUCAUUUCUGACACGGUCCAUUUUUCCUCUGUUUGUGUUGUGUGUUUGUGCUUUGUUCUGUUUCUUCCGUGUUCGGUGUUUUUGUAUUUGCUAUCUGGAGCUAUUACUUGUAUAUGCAUGAGUUUGUGAAAUUUGUGGGAUAAUACAGGAUCUUAAGUUUGUCUACCUUAUUCCUACUAAUGGGUUAGCCUGUUGUGGUGGCUCUCCUUUUGACCUUAUUCACAUAAUAAAGGCCUUUGUAUGGUUUUGAGGCUUUAAGUGCAGUUCGAUUUAUUUUAAGUAGAAUACAGUUUGAUCCUCUUGACGUGCAUUUUUUUUAGGAAAAUAGUUUUCUAUUUUAUCAUGCUUGUCUUUUUAAUCUGCUUUGCCUAAACUAGACGGCCAUUGACAUAAAACAUAGGACAGAAUAGGUAUAAUAAUAAAAAUGAGACUUGCAUAUUGACAGUAUCUAUUUCUCUACGAGUUCUACAUUCUCUUCCACCUGUCUAAAAGUCUCCCAUUUCUAUUGCAGUGGUCCGUCUAGGUUUGAUUGGGAUCAGGUUACUAAAGCUUGGAUAUAUAGGCGGAACAAAGCAAAUUUAUACAAAAUCUUAGAAGAUGAGUUGGAGCAGUUGUGUGGCAAACCUAUUGUUCUUUCCUAAGCUGUUGAGAAUGUGGUACUUAAUCUUGAUUUAAAAUUUAAAAAUGGGAAAUCAUUGGACAUUGUUGAUGAUCCUUUGGCAUUCAGGUGUACUCAGUAAGCAGAUUUUGUUCCUUUGCCACCUUUUACUCUGUAAACUAUACCAGUUCUUUCACAAUCAUGACGUGAUUGUAUCUUCUGAAUAAUCAGCUCUAUAUAGAACUCAUGUGGUUGACAUUAGUUUACUCUUCUGAAGAAUUACAAUUGUAAUGGGCAUUAUUGUUGGUUACUACUGGUGAGCUAGAGCAACUCAAAUGGUGAUCUUUAUCAAAGGUUGUUUUGCGGGUCCUCUAACCACAUCAUCUUGAAGCAACUAUUUUUUUUCAUUUGUUCCAAUGAUAAAACACUAAAGAACUGAUAUUAGAACAACAACUUUAUCACCCAAUCUUGUUUUAUUCAUAUGUAACAUUAUUUUAUAUUGAACCCUGUUUUUAUUGCAACAAACCGAAAGAAAAUAAUUUUAUUUUAGUCCCUUUUGUUUCAAAGUUUUGUUGCGUCAAUAAGCAACGGUGAUGACAGGACAGCUGUCCAAUUUUCUUUUAACUCUAAAAUGGUGAAAGGGUGCAACACAUUGGCAGACUCACCCAUUGGUAGAGAAAUUAAAUUUGAACAACGAACAAUUUUUUGAAUUGACUUCUUUUUCUAUAGCAAAAAAUAAUAAAUAGAAAAAGAGAGUAAGAAUACAAUGAAAACAUGAAAGUUGUUUAAAAAAUUGCUGGGACGAUUUAACUAUUUUAGAAUACGAAUAACACAUGAAUUCACAAGGAUGGUUUAACUAACGAGCAAUGAUAUUUGAACAACUAUUUGGUACCACCUUUAUGACAAAUUUUUUUCUCUCUUCUUAUUGGUCAAAAAUAAUGAAGAGGGAAAAGGGAAGAGAGAGAAUAAGAAGAUAAUGUGAGUAUGAGAGAUAAAGUUGUAUAAAAAUGAUUGUACGAAUAUCAUUUCUCUUAACUAUAUAAACCUAUUAUUAAACACUCUUAAAUUGUAAGUUUCAACUACUCAAAAUAAGUUUUAGAUAUAGAUAAAAUAAUUGUUUUUACACAUUCAAGGAUAAAAUUACUUUAUAGAAAAAUACCUAGUUAAAAUUAGUAUUAAAUUAAGGGUUAAUGGUGCUUUACCCCCUGUAAUAUAGGUCAUUUUUUAUUUUCCCCCUGUCAAAUAUUUUUUUUGAUUUACCCUCUUGUAAAAUAUAUUUUUUUUGGAAUACCCCCUAAUAUUUUUUUUUUUGAAUACCCCUAAUAAGUCAUUAAAAAUAUUAAUACCAAUAGUUUCCAAAACCGAAAAUUCAAUAACAAAAACAUAUUGAUGUAAAUCAUAUAUUAUUUAUAUUCUUUAGAAUAGUCUAGAUACAUUAUAAUCAAACUGAUAUUUUUUUGUUUUUGUUUUUACACAUGAGUCGAAUCUGAUAGAUAUUUGUGGAACUAAUCUAGGUUUAAGUCAAUAGGGUUGUCCUCGACAGUCUUUGUUGGGACACAAAGGACAUAGCGUCACGCAAGGGUACUUUCGUCCAUCCAAUUCAAAGAGAGUGGUUUUUUGUUGGGAGAAGAGCAAUUUUCAACAAAUAAACCUAAAGUAAUCAUCUUCUUCAUCGCAACACAAGAAGCAUGUCAAUCCUUAGUCGAUUGAAACUCGCAGGUACUCGUUGUUUCUUCUACUCUCUCUCUCUCUCUCAUUAAAUUUCUUGAAUUUGUUAUUGCUUUGUUACAAUUCUGUUCUAAGAAAAUUCUAUUGCGCUUCUUAAUUUAGCCUCACACAGAAAUAAUAUAUAUGUUUAGUCUUGGCAAGGGACCAAAUACUAACGUAUAGUUAUCAUAUAUAUUGCGUGCUUGCAGCAACAAUGAAGAGCUGUGAAAAGCUUGAGAAUGAGUUGUCUGAUCAUAUUAUAUCUUAUAUCUUUUCCAAGUUAGCUUUGAAAGAUUUGGUGAAAACCAGUGCAUUGUCCAAACAAUGGAUUCACGAAUGGGGAUUAAGGAUGGACCUUAACUUCGAUCUCUAUACCAUGUCCGACUAUAACACAGAUCAAGACUUGUCACAAAUCCUUCCUCUCUCUCUCAAAGGUUUCACUUUCAAUCUGAAUUUUCCACAAGAUUGGAUCAAUUUAUGCUGCAUUAUAAAGGUGCCAUCAUCCGUUCCAUUCGAGUAAAAUUUCCAUUAUGUAAUCAACAUAGGGAUGUCAUUCAUAGAUUGAUCUCCAAAGGAAUUGCUAAGGGUGCCAAACAUAUUGAACUUCUCUUCUCUUCUGAAACAACUGAUACUACUAUUUCUAUUAUGCCAUACAGAUUUUCCCUUAUUCUCUUACUUGAGAAUGAUUCUGUGACCUAUUUGCACCUACAAAACUGCCUCAUAGACAAACCCAGAUACUUCUCUGGAUUAAAAAAUUUGAGAACUCUUGUGUUGCAACAAGUUUUUGUGAAGAAGACACUCCUUAAGACUUUGUGUUCAAAUUGCAACCACCUUGUUGACCUCACCCUUGAUGGUUGUAAAAUCACUUCCAAGUUGGUAAUAAACAGCCCAUCAUUGCUUCGUUUGAACAUUGCUAAUGUUGGGUUUUACCCUCGAAAUCUUAUUACUAUCAUUGCCUCAAGUCUCUCAUCCUUUGAGUAUUCUUGUCUUAAAGAACAUGUAGUACACCAAAUGAACAUUCAAGCUCCUAUGUUAUCCAAGUUUAGCUUUAGAGGUGCUUUGUUUUCAAAGCGUAUACGGUUAUCUGGAUUGACGAACGUAACAAUAAUUAAGUUUGAUGCAUUACUAAUUGAUCUAUCCACAAACAUCUUGCCUCAUUUGUUUUCUAAAUGUCCUCAACUUGAAGCUGUCACUCUUAAGAACUGCUUGUUCACAAGUUCAACACAAAUUACCAGUUCGAAGUUACGUCAUUUGAUCAUACUUGAUAGUGUUUGGGUGGAUGACUCUCCUUCUGAUAUAUCUAUUGAUGCAUUAAAUCUUUCAUCCUUUGAAUAUACUGGGUACACCACAAGGAUAAUUUCUUUUACGGCUCCAAGGUUAUCGAAGGUUUUCUGGGAUACAUCAGAGAGAGAGAAUAGACCACACCUUUUUGAUCCAAUUGCAAGUUUACCACAUAUUGAGAAUUUAGCUAUGAUCAUCGGCACUUUACAAGUGAGUCGCUCAAUGAUAUUCCAACACUAUAGUACAUUCCAACAGUGUCUAGGUUUCUUUCCAUUACGUUUUUCACUAGCUGCUUUUAAUUCACUUAAGUAUCAUUGUUGUAAACAGGUAAAGGAAUUAGCGAAAGUCUUGGUUCGGUUUCAAAAUCUUUGACAAUUGGACUUACAUAUUGAUGGAGCAUGUGAUCCUAUUAUGGACUACUUUUGGCUUUUGGAUAUUGCAACGGCUUCUAGGCAUCUCCAAAAACUUACACUGAGUGUAAGUUAUUCAAACUUUUUUUUUUUUUCUUUUGUCUUGAAUGGAACUAGAAGUUUAUUUUAAAACUUAGCUGCAGUACGAUAGGUAUUGUUUUUGCUAUUUCCCAAUUGAAACUAGACACAUGUAAGAGUAGAUAAAUAAAGAUGAAUAAUUUUUGUUUUUCUUUUUAAAUAUUAACACUAACUUAAAACUCAUAUACUUUAAAAUAAACAAAUUUCUCCGAAUGUUUUUUCAUAAUAGUAAAUUAGAUUUAUUUAACCAAAAAUCCCAAAUCAAUUAUCAAACCUUUAAUUGAUAUUGAAAAUGGGUGAGAGACCGAAACUCAUACAAUUGAAUUUGAGAGACCAAAAAGUUGGAUUUUAAAAUAGGGGACCAAAACUUCAUUUUUCCUAAAACAAGUCAAUCAAAAGUGCAUUUAAGUCAAAAACCACUAUCAAACAACUCUAUUUUAGUCUUGUGUGUUUGUAUGAAAGUUAUACUCUAUCGGUUUAUAAAUACACGUCGUAGUCAAUCACUUCACAUAUGCUAAUACACAACUUUGAUAAUCAAUAUCUUUAGUUAUCUAUGAUAAAAAAAAAUUAUAACAGUUAGAUAUGUUAUAAAUAUUCAUUGAGACAAGUUGAACAAAAUCUUAUAUACUAACAUUAGUGUUUAUAUAUUAGGUAAAAAUAUAUUACACAUUAUGAAUGUGAAUAAUACAUAUUACCAACGUCAAAAAAGAAAGAAAGAAUAGUACACAUUAUCAAAUUGUUACAUGUAUCUUAUAAGCUAAUAGUUUGACCUUGUCAAACAUAAUAAACAACAUCGUAUUUCAAUUAAAAUAAUGAAUAAGUUGUGGAUUAGUUUUAUAUGCUAAUGGAAUUUUAAAAUUCUCAUAAAUGUAUCGUUAUUUUCAAUUUUCAGAUUAAAAAUCUUCAUCCGGAACAUUCACAUAUGGUUGGAUUUAAAAGGCAGAAAAGCGAAUAUGAGGGGUUUUCUCAUAAUGUUUUGAAAUAUGUGGAGUUUCUCGGCUGUGUUUGCUCCAUAAAUGUUUUUGAGUUAGCUACUCACCUAUUGAAGAGUGCAAAUUCGCUUAAGAAAAUGACUUUCCAUUCUAGUGACAGAGUCUAUCUUGGAGGUGGUAGAUGGACAACUUAUUUUAAUGCAUGUGGUGGUGAUUGUUGGUUAGGAAAGAAUGUUAUUCACGAGAUGUUUAAGGAUUGUUAUCAUGGUUUUUGGGUGCCAAGCCAUUAAUUAGACUUGUACCUUUCGACCGUUGAUAUCUCUAUUUUUUCUUGGGAAGGGCAAAAUUGAGAAAAAACCCUUAGAUUCUAAGUUCGGGGGCCGGUUUUACUACGGGAAGGUGUUAGGCACCCGGAGUAACUAUAGUCCUCUAUAGGAGCCGUUUUCCUAAGUCUAUAUUCACGCUUAUUUUUACUUACUUUUGAAAAUGGGAGGUUUAUUUAGUUAAGAAUGGGGGGGAGAGAUUGUAAGACUUUGAUUUUAUUUCGGCUUGGAUGAGUUUUGACUCAUUGCCUACGUACCGUUUUACAGGAUCAAAACCGGCGUAGUUCUUGCUAAAAAGACUUGUUUUUCUUUUGUUUUAAUUGUUUGAUUUUAAGUUUUGAAAAAAAGGUUUUGAAGAAGGAGAUUGGGAGGCUUCAUGAGCAUUAGAUUUUAGCAAAAGGUGAAGUUUGAUUAGUGAUUAGAAAAAAAGUCUAAAUGAUUAAGAUGAAUUGAAUUUUCCUUUAGAGAAAAAAAAAAAGAAAGGAAAAAAAAAAAUGAAGUGUUGACUUCAUACUUAUUAUGAAAAUUUUUGAAGUGAAGUUCAAUUGUUUUUUUUGGAAAAAAGAUGGAUUUUCUCUAAGUGUUUAAAACCUAAACGCUUAUUUAACCAUACAAUCCUAUGCAUACAUCUAAGGUGAGUGUGUGCGUGUCGGUGCAUCAUAGUGUCCAUAGUCCAUAUUACAAAAAUUGCCUAAAUACAUUCUAUGGCCCCUUUGCCAAGCUACAAACCAAUGAUAACAAAUUACAUUACCAAAUGAAUUAAAACUUGCAAAAGAUAAAGGCUAGGCUAAAGAAAGUGGAGGGAAUGCUAAAUGGGAUGCAUGAAACAUGGAAAUAAACUUGUUAGUGAAAAGAAAAAACAUAACAAGUACUAAGAAAUAAAAGCAUGCAAGAUGGCACAAAAAGUUAACAAAAUGACAUUAAACCCUAAAAACUUAGGUAUGAAACCUAAAGCAUUCUUGGCCUCUAAUUCUCAUGCUUUAACAAAUUUUGAAAGAGUUUUCUUUAUCUCAAGUUAUAGCAUAGAAUUAUUGGAAACAUGCAAACAUGGUUUCAUGCCACAUUUUCUAGAAUAAACUUGGCAUUUUAUAUCUUUCAAAAUAUGCAUAUAUUGUUCAUAAAAUCAAGCACUCAUGAACCAAAUCAAAACAGCAAAUCAACAUGAAAUUAUUGGCACAAAUCUCUCAUAUUAACACGUCAAGUAGCUUUUAUUUCAUAUUCUCACAUCAAGGACAAAUGUGUGAAGAAGAAUCCAUAACAAAUAAUUCAAAGAGAAUUAAAAUGCUAUGAAUUAAUUAUACAAAAAUUUCAUAGAUCCUUAAUGUUCAAAAAUGUCAUAAAAACACUAAGAAAAUAUCAAGAAACAUGUGAUAAUUUUUUGGAGGUUUUUUGGAGAAAAUUUUAAGCAUGCAGGGGUUCAAACAGCAAAGAAAUAUGGUGCAAAUAGCAGGAAAACAAACAAAAACGUAAAAGAACAAAGCCCAAACCAAAGGCCCAAUACACUAGAAGAUCCGGUUGCACAGGAACCAUACGAUUGAUCCAGGAUUCUGAAACCCUAGAUCAGACGGCCAGGAAUCAAAGGGGGAAUGGACCGGACUGGACCGGUCCGGUUCGCUGGCUUAUAAAAAGGAAGGAGCUCCGGUUUAUUUCAUUUUGCUGCUCUCAUUCUCUCUCUAACUCUUCUCUCUUCUCUCAUCUCUCAUCUCUCACUAACUUCGCCGCCGGCGAGGAUGAAGCUACGGCGGAGACCUUGAAGGUCCGCCGGAAACUUCAUCUUCUCCGGCGAGUUCAUGCAGUUUCCGGUGACCUAAAUUUCCAGAUUUCAAAGAUUCUUACUCCAUUUGAUUCGUCCUUUAACCCUAAACACGAAUCCAGCAGUUGUUUUUUCAAAUUCAAGUCGAAACGAUGUAGAUCUGGAAAUUUGCCGUACGGCUUUGAAUUUGAUUUUGAUUUUUUGAAAGAUAACGUUUAGAUCCUUGAAGAUCUACAUCAUUUCGUUGUUUAACACCUCUUUGAUGUUUGUUCUUGCUUUCAAAACUUAGAUCCUUAUGGAUCUAGGUUUUGUGUUUACGGUUACGGUUUUGGCUUUGAAUUCUGGAAAUUUGGAUCUGUUUUGCUUGCGUGAUUUUUAGGUUUAACAGUGAUAUUGCUUUUGAAAAAGAUUAUGAGUUUUACCUAAGGUUUUGGUUGAAACCUUUAAUGGAGAAAUUCUUUGGAAAACUUCAAUCUCUGAUGCUACGUGAUUUGGCUUUGAAUCCGGAAAUAAACCGGUGUUCCUGCUGGUUUCUUGCUUUAUCGUCUUCUUCGCCGGUUUAAACCUUCAUUAUCUUUCUUUCUUCUUCGUCUUCCUCACUGUAUCUUCGUGAUCGGUGCUGGAGUUUGCCUUUGGCGAAUUCGCACCUUGAAUUGCGAAGAUACUGAUUCAAUGAUGAUGAUUCUUCAAAGAAUCACUGAGAAUCCAUGAAAAAUAGCUUGAAUUUGUGUAGUUUCUGUUUCUGGAAAAGGUUAGGUUUACGCCAUUGAUGAAUGUUGAAGCUUUUUCUGUUUUGAUUUGUAACUGACAAGAGAGAGUGUGACUCUGUGUUUAUGAGUUGGCACCUGAUGAAUGGCUUUGAGUGGCACUGUGCACCUUUUAUAGCAUGACAUGUGUGCCUCUGAACAAAUGAGAAAGUGACACCUGGACCUGGAAAAAAAAAUGACACGGCCUUGGACAAAAAAUCAAAUUUGGACCUUCUUGCAAAAAACAAAACUUAAGGACUAAACUGCAAUUGACCAAAAAAGGACUAAAAUGAAAAUUGGAAGAGAAACUGGACUGAAAUGUAAUUUUGGGACCUCAAUUGAGGGACCAAAAUGUAAUAAAAAAUAAAAUUGAAUAAAACGUAAUUUGACCAAACGUAAAGCGAAACAAAAAUAAAAUUGACAAAACGGACUAAAACGAACCAAUGGCCUAAAUGAGGUACUUCAAAGUAACCUCCCCAUGCCAAAAUUUUAUGCGAAAUGACCAAAAUGCCCCUAGGGCUAAAAAUGACCUAAACAGAGCCAAAAUGACUCGACACUGACUCAGAUGCAAGUUUGAAAUGAAAUUAGCAAGGUUUACUGAUGGAAAGUUAAAAAUGAAUUUGAAAAGACCCAGAGACAGUCACAAGGAUGAAAAUGGGUCCCACUGCAGGAAAUGACCAAAAUACCCUUCUGUAUGACUUUUUUUGCAAAUUUUGAAAUAAACUGUAGAAAAAGCAAUGUAAUGAUUCAGAGACACUUUUGAAUGACUUACAAGACAAGUAAAGACAUUUCGAAAGGUUUUAUGCAAGAAAAACAUAGGUAAAAUUGUGAUUGAAAAUACUGCGAGGCAGAGACAAUUUGAACUGUGCAGUUGAAAUUUGAUAAUUGACAAAGUUUGAAAAUGAAAUUGGGCCCAGUAUUUUUAGGUCCAAAAACAGGGUAUAACAGCUGCCCCUAUUUAAGUUUCUUUGUCUGGAGAGUCAAGAGACGGAGUCUUUGGCUUGACAGGACGAAGACACUUAAAUAUUAGCAUUUGCACUGUGUUUGGACGUAAAAAUACGCCUACCCAUUUUCAAAUAAUAUGCAUGCCAUGCAUCAUUUGGAUUAUGAAUGCAAGACCUCAUGGGGAUUGGAAUUAACAAAAUAUGUCGUAUCCAUUGCGGGAUUGGUAGACAUUGACAAAGAUAGUGAAUAGCAGAGUAACGGGAAACUAGAAACAAGUUGGACAGGUACAAGCUGUUCUUGGAUUCAAACUAGCCACUUGACCGGGGAUGAAACAAACAGACAACUGCGAGUUGUUCUUAUGGAUUCGAACUGGUCACUUCACAGGGGAUGGAGGUUACUGGACAAACAUGAGUUGUUCUUAUGGAUUCGAACUGAUAACUCACUUGGGGAUAUUGGAAAGUGCGAGUUGUUCUUAUGGAUUCGAACUGGUGACCCGACUGGGAAAAAGAGAAAAUUGGCAAGUACGAGUUGUUCUUAUGGAUUCGAACUGGUUACUCGACUGAAAGCAUGGCAAAUAGACAGGUGCGAGCUUGUUCUUGGAUGCGAACUGGUUACUCCACCGGACAGAAACAGAUAGACAGGUACAAGCUGCUCUUGGAUUGAGCUAGCCACUUGACCAAACGGAAACAUAUUGACAGGUACAAGCUGCUCUUGGACUGAGCUGGGCACUCGACCGAUAACAUAAGCAAAUUGAUAGGUACAAGCUGUUCUUGGACUUGAACUAGCCACUUGACCAAACAGAAACAUAUUCACUGGGGAUUGGUUUUGUUCUGACAAAAUAUAGAUUGAGAUUGACUUGACGUCGAUUUGAUUUGAAAGGUAGAAAUUGACCGAUAUUAUUGGCUCACAAGGUUUUGACAGAGAACCUGACAUGAGUUUUGAAUUGAGACUGAUGUUGACAUUGAAAAUGCAAUAUGCACGGAUGAUAUAACGAUUUCAUUAAAUGCAUGAGCACGUAAUAUGCAUGAUUAUGCAUGUAUGAAUGCUUGUAAUGCAUGACUGUUGGCAUUUUGUAGGCACGACUUCACGGGGAAGACGAGACAUCAGAGUAUUGGGCACGUAGUGGCUCGUGCUAUGUUACACCUUCUUGGAAAUCCUCUUUGGAGAUGACGUCGUUUGGGAGACGUAUCGGAACCAUGGCUGAGGGCAGGUAGCUAUGCAACUUGCUGGGGAUAGAAUCUCGAGAGACUUUACUGGGGAUAAUGCCGUUGUGAUAGGCAUGUUGUGGACAUCGCAUCUGUGGUCAAUGCUUUUUGCAUGUUAUAUUCUCAAUUCUCAUUCAUCAUUUUUUGCAUCCCAUUUUUGCCUGGAUCGCCCUUUCGGGUUUUCGAUCCACCGGGGAAAUAAAUUCUUUUCAAUGCCCCAUUUUUGCCUGAACUGCCCUUUCGGGUUGUCAAUCCAGCGGGGUGCUCAUUUUUGCCUAAGCCGCCCUUCCGGGUUUUCAACUUAGCGAGCCUUUUCAUUUUCAUGCAUUUGCAUUCUGUUUUUUUUCAUUUUUGCCAUUGACCACAGAUUAUCUUGGAGGAGAACCUGCUUGUAACAUAUAUGGAAAUAGACAUUAACAUACUCUCGCUCAUGCAUGUUUCAUUUGAAUGUACCCUGUUGCUCAGGUUUGCUUUUCAAAACAGACAAAAAGUUUUCAAUUUUCAAAAUGUUUGUUUCAAGCAUUGUCAUUAUCAAAAUAGAAAGAAAAUGUUUUGUAUAUAGCUUUGAAAGUAAAAAGAAAGCAGAGUUUCAAACAAAAGCACAAGCUCAAAUUGAUGUAUAAGAGUGGUGGUCAGCCGAAGGCGUGACUCCACGGAUUCACAAAGCUUGGAAAAUGGUAAUUUUAUUGGUUGGUGGUACAUUGAACACAGUAAUCACUACAUUUCUUAGAAACUUUGAAUCCACAAGUGCAGAAGCUUUUGAUGAAGACGGUCAUUAACAGCUGCAGAUGUCCCAAGGGGGACGGUGGUUGGCCAGAUAUAGUUACUUGCCUUUUGUUUCAAUCUCAUUUUUGCAUGAACCGCCCUUCCGGGUUUUCGGCUCAUCGAGACACUCAUUCUUGCCUGAGUUGUGUACAAUCUCAGCGAGCUUUUCAUAUUUGUUUUUUUUGUCCCUUAUUUUUGCCUGGACCGCCCUUUCGGGUUCUCGAUCCACCGGGAAGCGCAUUUUUGCCUAGGCCGCCCUUUCGGGUUUUCGACCUACCACGCUGUUCUUUUCAUAUUUCUAGGCAAAGUAUUUCUUGACUAUAUCGGCAUUCACUGGAUUUGGAAGCUCUACACCAUCCAUGUGUGUAAGGAUUAAAGCACCACCGGAGAAGGCCUUCUUGACAACAUAAGGACCUUCAUAGUUAGGCGUCCACUUGCCCCUUGGGUCGGGUUGCUGGCUUAUCCUCCCUUUCAAUACAAGUUCCCCUACCUUGAAUUCUCGCGGAUGGACUUUCUUGUCAAAGGCAGUCUUCAUUCUUGCUUGAUAUGACUGUCCACGAGCCAUGGCAUCCAUACGUUUUUCCUCAAUCAAAUUUAACUGAUCAUACCGGUUUUGGCACCAUUCAGCCUCAGAUAACUUUGCUUCCAUAAUCACACGGAGAGAUGGGAUCUCCACUUCCAAAGGAAGAACUGCUUCCAUACCAUAUACAAGAGAGAAAGGGGUUGCCCCGGUUGAACUGCGCACAGUAGUACGGUAGCCAUGCAGAGCAUAGGGUAACAUCUCAUGCCAGUCCUUGUAAGUGGUUACCAUCUUCUGGAUGAUUCUCUUGAUAUUCUUAUUGGCGGCCUCAACUGCACCAUUCAUCUGAGGUCUAUAAGGAGAAGAGUUAUGAUGCUCAAUUUUGAAUUCUUCACAAAGAGCUUGCACCACAUUGUUGUUCAGGUUGGUACCAUUGUCGGUAAUAAUCUUGCUGGGAACACCAUAUCGACAGAUGAUGUUGUUCUUGAUGAACUUAGCUACCACUUGCUUGGUCACAUUAGUAUAAGAUGCUGCUUCAACCCACUUGGUGAAGUAGUCAAUUGCCACUAAGAUGAAACGAUGACCAUUUGAAGCCUUCGGUUCAAUCCUUCCAAUCAUAUCGAUGCCCCACAUUGAGAACGGCCACGGGGAUGACAUAACAUUGAGAGCGUGCGGAGGCACAUGAAUCUUAUUAGCAUAGAUUUGACAUUUGUGACAUUUUCUGGCGUAUUGGUAGCAAUCAUGCUCCAUGGCCAUCCAGUAGUAACCUGCCCGUAGCAACUUUCUUGACAUAGUAUGCCCUGUAGCAUGGGUCCCGAAGGUACCGUCAUGUACAUCAUGCAUUAACUGCUCCGCCUCAUGUUCAUCAACACAUCUUAACAAUACCAUGUCAUAGUUCCUCUUGUACAAAAUAUCUCCAUCUAACAGGAAUCUACCGGCCAAUCUUCUCAAGGUCUUCUUGUCUUGUUUGGAAGCACUCGGCGGAUACUCACGGCUCAGCAAGAACUGUUUGAUGUCGUAGUACCAAGGUCUAUAGUCAACCACAUUUUCACCAGCUUGAUCGAUCACAUCCCCAAUAGCAAACACAUGUGAAGGUCUUUCAAGGCGUUGCACUUUGAUUAAUGGCACAUCAUUCCAAUGGUUUACUCGGAACAUGGAAGAUAGAGUAGCAAGAGCAUCAGCCAUUUGGUUCUCAUCACGAGGAAUAUGAUGCAGCUCAACCUUUGUAAAAUAUGUCAGAAGACGUCUCGCAUAAUCACGAUAAGGAAUCAACUUAGCAUGGUGGGUCUCCCAUUCACCCUUUAUCUGAUUGAUGACGAGCGCAGAAUCUCCAUAGAUGUCGAGGUGUUUGAUUCUCAUGUCAAUUGCUUCCUCGAUCCCGAAGAUACAUGCUUCAUACUCAGCCAUAUUGUUUGUACAUUCGAACAGAAUACGGGCGGUAAAAGGAAUAUGAUGCCCUUGCGGGGAUACAAUGACUGCCCCAAUUCCUUUGCCAUAAGCAUUGACAGCACCAUCAAAGACUAAACCCCACUUGCUAUUGGGAUCUGGACCUUCAUUAAUCAACGGUUCGUCGCAGUCUUUGGAUUUCAAAUACAUGAUCUCUUCAUCAGGGAAAUCGAAUUCAAUUGGUUGGUAAUCAUCAAGAGGUUGAUAAGCAAGGUGAUCGGCAAGAAUGCUGCCUUUGAUUGCCUUUUGAGUUUUGAACACAAUAUCAUAUUCAGACAAAAGCAUCUGCCAGCGUGCGAUCUUCCCAGUAACGGCCGCUUUCUCAAAGAUAUACUUUAUCGGAUCCAUUCUGGAUAUCAACCAAGUUGUAUGAUUCACCAAAUAAUGGCGCAGGCGUUUGGCAGCCCAAGCUAGAGCACAACAAGUCUUUUCAAGCAUUGUAUAUCGAGUUUCACAAUCGGUGAACUUCUUGCUUAGAUAGUAGAUAGCAUGCUCUUUCUUUCCGGUUUCAUCUUGUUGACCAAGUACACAUCCCAUGGAUUCAUCAAAUACUGCCAAAUACAUAAUCAAAGGCCUUCCUUCCACGGGUGGGACAAGGAUAGGUGGUUCCAGCAGGUAAUUCUUGAUGCUAUCAAAAGCUUCUUGGCAUUCAUCAUUCCAUACAACAGGCUGGUUCUUUCUAAGUAGCUUGAAGAUCGGCCCGCAGGUUGCAGUCAUGUGAGAUAUGAAUCGGGAGAUGUAAUUCAAACGUCCCAAGAAACCUCUGACUUGCUUCUCUGUCUGUGGAGCUGGCAUUUCUCGGAUGGCCCGGACUUUAUCAGGAUCGACUUCAAUGCCCUUUUGGCUGACAAUGAAGCCUAAUAACUUUCCGGACCUGACACCGAAUGUACAUUUGUUGGGAUUCAAUCGCAGCUUGUAUUUUCUCAACCUUUCAAACAUCUUUGUUAGAUAUUCAACAUGCUGCUCCUCAUCUGCUGACUUCACAAUCAUGUCAUCCACAUAUACCUCAACUUCUUUGUGAAUCAUGUCAUGAAACAGAGUGGUCAUUCCCCUUUGGUAGGUAGCACCAGCAUUGAUUAGGCCGAACGGCAUCACUUUGUAACAGAAAGUACCCCAUGGAGUGAUAAAAGAUGUCUUUUCUCUAUCUUCAGGAGACAUUUUGAUCUGAUUAUAACCGGAAAAACCGUCCAUGAAGGAGAACACCUUAGAUUGAGCAGUAUUAUCAACAAGCACGUCAAUAUGGGGUAACGGAAAGUUGUCUUUUGGACUGGCUUUGUUCAAGUCCCUGAAAUCAACACACAUCCGGACUUUACCAUCCUUCUUCGGCACAGGCACAAUAUUGGCAACCCAUUCGGGGUACUCAACUGUCAUGAGGAAACCCGCAUCAAUCUGCUUUUGAACUUCAUUCUUAAUCUUGAGGGCCAUAUCAGGAUGAGUCCUCCUCAAUUUCUGCCUGACGGGAGGACAUUCAGGCUUGGUAGGGAUCCGAUGCUCCACGAUCAUAGGGUCUAGACCUGGCAUAUCUUCAUAGGACCAUGCAAAAAUAUCCGGAUAUUCCCGGAGGAGUUGGAUGAUCUUCUGUUUAACCCCUUCCUCUAGAGUAGCACCAAUCUUGAUUUCUCGCUUGUUUUCUUCGGUACCUAUGUUGAUAAGCUCAAUCUCUUCUUGGUGAGGCUGAAUGGCUUUCUUUUCUUGCUCAAGUAACCGAGUGAUCUCAUACGGUAUGUCAUCACCUUCCUCAUCUUCGGCUUCAUAUACAGGGAAAUCAAAACUUGGAGGAACCGUAGGAUUACUGUGUUCAACGGGUUUAUUAUGGUUCAACCUGCAUAUAAUGAUUGGAUGAUUUUAGAAAUAGUUUUUUUUUCAUGCAGAUUUUUGAAAUUAAUAAGAAAAUACAGACGUUUUGGUUUUUUCUGGCAUUACCAUUGUUUCCAAGGGAAAAAGCACUUAAAAAAAGUAGUCGUGGAAGAAACGACAAAAUUUUAUUAAUCAACGGCAAUGCCGAAACAAACAUGCCCUUACAGAAAAUAUCACUCUCGCUUUGGGCAGAGCGAGAGGAUUGUUAUUUUGAAAACAAAGCACUAAAGCAACAAGACACAUUACUCAGAAACAUGCAUGAUUGAAGGAAUGUCAAUGGCAUCCCAAUUCGUCGCAAUGCCUCCUGGUGUAACAAAUAUAGGCCUGAGACCAGAUCCAGUGGCUUCUUCAGAGAUAGCAUUAACAAACCCUGCACUGUGGAAGACUCCCGAGGAAACCCUUGAUGACGGGGAGAACCCGAGACCUUCCUUUCGCUUGUUCUCACAGAGCUGUAUCAUCUUGCCCCAGCCGGCAGUCUGACCUUCUUGGAUGGCUCUCUGAGCAUCCUUCAAUGAAGCCAUAGCAGCCCCAGCUUCCUUAGACUCUGCACCUUCAAUGGUCAAACCUUGGAAAGCAGUCCCUUCAGCAGAUCCUGCUUCAAUACAAGAGAAGGAAGACAACUGGCUGACUAAGUAUGCUUCUUCACCAUGGAUUGUAACGAGUUUUCCAUUCUUCACAAAUUUCAACUUCUGAUGUAAGGUGGAAGUAACCGCACCUGCAUCGUGUAUCCACGGUCUUCCCAGCAGGCAACUGUAGGAUGCAUUAAUGUCCAUCACUUGGAAGGUAACCAAGAAAUUCUCAGGGCCAAUGGUUAUCGGCAAGUCUAUCUCCCCCAGCACGUUCUUUCGAGAUCCGUCAAAAGCUUUGACCAAGAAAGUACUUCUUCUCAAAGGGGUCCCACGGUAGCUCAACUGAUCUAGAGUUGUCUUGGGCAUUACAUUGAGAGAGGAACCGGUAUCCACCAACACAUUUGAUAUCAUGUCUGAUUUACAAUUCACCGAGAUGUGCAAAGCCAGAUUGUGACCCUUUCCCGCUUCCGGCAACUCUUCUUCACUAAACCAGAGGUUGUUACAAGCAGUAAUAUUUCCCACUAUGCCACCGAAACGAUCUACCGUAACUUCGUGGUCAACAUAUGCCUGCUCCAGCACUUUCAACAAGGUAUUCCUGUGAGCCUCAGAGCUCAAGAGUAAUGACAAGACAGAUAUCUUUGAAGGAGUCUGCAGCAACUGAUCAACGAUCUUGUAGUCGCUCCUCUUUAUUAUUCUCAGAAUCUCAUCUAAAUUUGAAUCCUCUAUAGAUUUGCCUGGCUGAUUCACAUCUGUAGCAAUGGGUGAAACAACGGUUGGAGUUGCUUCUUCAACUGGUGGAGUGAUUGGCGUAGCUACCUUCUUCUGAAAUAAUGGCGGACGAACCUUCCCGCUUCUUAGCGCUGCAGAAGUCCCUUCGGCAAUAUUGCUUACUGUGGCAAAGGAGGCUAGAGGUACCUCUACUCCAUUUUCUAUUAUAGUAGCAUUGUACUUAUAUGGCACUGCCUUGUCCGAAGCAUAAGGAAUUGGUCCUGGCAACCUUAUUACCAAAGGCUCAGCAUUCUUCUUCAAAGGUACACUCUUGACAGGCGGAUCGUGAAAAACUGGCACGACCACGCAAACAUCACUGACAGUCAGAAGAUUAUCGUUCAUCGAACUUUGGAUGUCGUCUUGAACAGCAUGGCAACCCAAAGGAUCACGGAGGCAUCCUAGACACUUGGCAUGAUCAUGGCUGAACAGAGAAGCUUUGCACAGCUUGAUAUGUAGAGGCACCAGAGGAGUGACAACAUUGCGGACAUCAAGUCUAGGAGCUUCCUCACACACUUCGAUCAUAUUCACAGCGGCAUGAUUUGGUAGCGGAUUGUCAAGGACAUGUGGAACAUUAUUCUCAAAAGUCAGCUUUCCCUGAUCAAUGAGCUUCUUCACGAUAUACUUCAAAGCAUAACACCCCUCGACAUCAUGACCUAAGGCACCUUGAUGAAAGUCACAUUUGAGAUCAGACCUGAACCUUGGAGGCAACGGAUCAGGUGGUGGCUUGCCCUGUCUAGUCGUACAAUGACCUCUCUGGAGUAAAGUCGGAAGAAGUUCUGCAUACAACAUCGGUAUAGGAGGAAAAGUUGGUCUAGUAUACUGCUGCUGCUGCUGUUGUUGUUGUUGUUGAACCGGCAACUGUUGUUUUAUCUGUUGGGCAAUUGCAUUGACGGGCACUUGAGGCUGGCCCGGUGGCAAAGGGUACUGAUGAUAAAACGGUGGGAAGAACGAAUGCUGAGAAUACGGCAUAUAUGGGUAUGACGGAGGCAUUUGAGCUGUAUUGAUAGGAGCAACGGUAGCUAUAGAUUGACCGGCUCCAGCUGACACCAUCCCCACUUCCGUUUCUUUCUUCUUGUGGUGUCCAUUACCAUAUCUCUUCGAUGCACCCACAGAGGAUUCAGCUUUCUCAAACACAAUGAUUCCAUCCCUGACUGCUUCCUCAAGACGGGUUCCCAUAGUGACCAUCUCCGAAAAGUUGUUCGGGGCAGCGAUGAUCAUCCUCUCAACAUAAUCUUUCUUCAAGGUCUUUAAGAAUGUCUGGGUCAUUUCUUCUUCAUCUAAAGCAGGAGUAAUACGGGCAGCUGCCCCUCUCCACCUUUGCGCAUAUUCACGGAAACUUUCCUCCUUUUUCUGAGAUAGGGACCUGAGAAACUCCCUAUUCGGCUUCAAUCGAGUGUUAAACCCGUAGUGGCUCCUGAAAGCGGUGGCCAGCUCAUCAAAAGUAUGGACAUCGUCUUUGCUCAGACUAGUAUACCACUCUGCAGCAUCCUCCAUCAGACUGUCUUGGAAGUAAUGGAUCAUAAGGGAAUCAUUGUCCUUGUAGUUGCCCAUUUUCCGGACGUAUUUGACAAUAUGAUUUUGAGGACAAGUCAGCCCGUUAUACUUGUCGAACUCCGGGACUUUGAACUUUUUUGGAACAUCUACCUUCGAUACUAAGCAGAGGUCCUGGGUUUUAAUGGAGUCUCCGUUUCCCCUGUUGGCCUUAAUUUCCCGUUGGAGCUCUUUGGCAAGUUCUUCCAUUCUCUCUUCCAUAGUUCCGGUUGUGGCAAUACUCCCGUGGUGCGCAUUAGCAUGGACAAAUAGAGGCACCGCAUUCACAAUGGGCUCGGUAACAGUUGUUGCAGCUUGAGUCAAGGCAGUACUAACAGGAGUUAAGUUUGCCCCUGGGAUUGGGCCAUUGUUGGUAGUACCAGAGGUCCCUGCCCCUGUAUUAGCAGUAUAGUACAGCGGAAGUCCGUAAGGAUACCCGGAUGGCAUGAUAGAGCGGGGAUCAGUUGUUACGGUAGGAGUCACAUUUGCAGCUGUAGAAACUACGGGAACUGGUUGUUCCUGAGCAGCCAACAGAGCAGUCAUAGCAUCAUGAGCUUUGGCCAAUUCCUCCCUUAAAGAUGCCAAUUCGGUACGGAGCUGUGUGUUCUCUUCUUCCAUAGCCCUUUUCUUUCUUCUGUAUUCUCUGGUUCGAUCAAUUCUAUCAGGUUCGUAAACUCUCUGAGCACGAGCCACUUUUCACACUAAGGCAGAGAAACCAGGAGGUGGUAAGCACUCGGAAGCCUUUGUGACCGAUGCAUGAUGCAUAUGAUGCAUGAUAUGCAAAUGCAAAUGCGAAAGACUUAUUUUUUUCAUCGAAGGAUUUUUAAACAAAUUGGAAAUUUUGCAAAUAAUCAAAACUACAUAGCAUUUUCAAAAGGAAGACUUUGAAAUUUCAACAAGAUAAACAAAUGAAGCCCUCAAGCAUAAGAAGUAGUCGGAAGAUCAUCGGACUCGGAAUCUGAAUCACAGUAUCUAUCAAAGAAGUCUCGUCGUCCUCGAGCUCUCUUGGAGUCCCUCAUAAGCAGCUCAUCUUUCUCUUCCAAUUCCUUCCGGGCCUUAGCUAACUCUUUCUUCAACAUUAGAUUCUCAUGAGUCUUCUGCUCAUCUCUACCAUCCAAAGUCAUGAUUAGAUUCUCGGCUUGAUUGUACCGAGCUUUCCACACUUGCUUCUCACGACUCUCCAUAGCUAGAUGCUCCUGAUACAUAUCCUAAGUCGCGGGGAGCAAAGGUAGAGGCAUAGACGGGGUAGACGAAGACACGUAUCUCAUAGCUGGAUAAGGCAUACCAAUCUCCUCAGCUCGAUCUAUCACCCACUGAGUAUAGGCCUCAUGAGCAACACCGGAUCUCACACCUAGAUGCUUCACACUCUUCCUUCGAACCUUGGACCAAGCAUCCAUGAAAGCUUUCCUUUGUCCAGUAGGAGCACUCGUGUAGAAGAAGAACUCUGGAGAUGUAGCAAGAUUGAUGGGCUUCGACUUCAUAGGGAAACCAAACUGUCUCAUAGCAAGCUCGGGAUUGUAGUUAAUUCCUCCCCGAGUACCAAGAAGAGGUACAUUGAGAAAGUCUCCACAACCCAUAAUGAUUUCCUUCACUUGAGCGGCAGGAGUGAGCCAGACGACCUCAUUAGGAGUGAGGGCCAUAAUCCGCUGAGAGUAGGACCAAUUUUCCGAGUUAUCAUGGAAGGAACUCGGAAGGUGCGAAAUAAACCACCUAUACAAAAGAGAUAUGCAGCAAAGAAUAUACCCACGGCCCUUGAGAGUCCUGUCAUGAAUGGCGUGGUAGGCAUCCGCUAGCAAAGUAGGAACCGGGUUCUUGGAAUGAAAGAUCUCGAUAGCAUUCAUGUCCACGAAGUUGUCGAGGUUUGGAAAGAGAAUGAGCCCGUAGAUAAGCAAAGCAAGAAUAGCCUCGAGUGUAUCCUGACGAGUAGUACUGAGAUUAGCCUGAUCAAGAAGAUACUUUGAAGUGAACCCCCGGAUGUGAGACUUGGUAAUAAGAUGGUUGGAGACGUCGGAAGUCUUGAGGUAGAGAUCCUUAGCAAUAACCAGAGGAGUAAGAGAAGUCCCGGGACCGGUGAAAGGCGUCUUCUCGGCUAUAGGUAAACCCACUAGAUUGGAGUAAGCCUCGAGAGUAGGAACCAACUGGAAGUCCGGGAAGGUGAAGCAACGGAAGCUUGGAUCAUAAAAUUGCACUAGAGUGUGCACUAGCUUCUCGUCCACAUCGGUUCGGAGCAAAGUAAGCAAUCCCCCAUACCGGAGUCGGAACCCUGUUUGACUCUUGACCUUGAGUGCCAACUCUCUUAAACUGACCAAAUCCACUUCCUUGAACUUGUAGCACUUAGUCUUCUUCAUACCUGUGAUUAUUUACAAAAUAUUCCAUUUGUUUAGGCCCUUCGAUGAAUGCAUGAAAAAUGUUUAUGCAUGAAUGCAUGUAUGCAUGAUUGUGUUGUUUAGUUACAAAGAACAAGAUGGGUUGAGAUUCAAAGUAACAGGGCUACGGCUGGACACGGCGUCCGGUGAACUAAGGCUUUGGAUAGUAGUAACCAAGGUUCUAACACAGUUCCCAAACUGCAACCUCUCUCACAUAUAUCAUGGUAGUACAGGACGACACCCGUUCCAUGAUUAUUUGUGAGAAGGUCUAGUUUGAGUGUAGUAUCGCGUGACGACUAAAGUUUGAGACAACACUCAAUUUAGCCACCGCACUACGUCCUAAAAAGGCUAGGAUGGGUUUGGUAACUACGGUUCAUAGCUUCGUCGAACAAUUGAAAGUGAAGUGCCUAAGCAUGACAACACACGCCGACAAUAUCACCUUCAAAAUGCCUCAGCUAUGUGAGAUUGAUCGCAUAAUCCAAUACACGAGGCAACCCCCGGAUCGAAUUGUCGAUUAUAUCUCUACCUAAACAUAAGUUCACUCAGCCCGGGUAUAGGACUUUUGAUAUUCUCACCCCCCCCGUCAAAUGAAAGUAAACAAGUAUUCACAUAUGUAAGCAAUAAAACAAAGCGUAAAUAAACUAAGGAAAACUAGGCGUGACCCGCUAAAAAAAUCCCCAGUGAAGUCGCCAUUUCUGUUAUCAUGGUUUUUGGGUGCCAAGCCAUUAAUUAGACUUGUACCUUUCGACCGUUGAUAUCUCUAUUUUUUCUUGGGAAGGGCAAAAUUGAGAAAAAACCCUUAGAUUCUAAGUUCGGGGGCCGGUUUUACUACGGGAAGGUGUUAGGCACCCGGAGUAACUAUAGUCCUCUAUAGGAGCCGUUUUCCUAAGUCUAUAUUCACGCUUAUUUUUACUUACUUUUGAAAAUGGGAGGUUUAUUUAGUUAAGAAUGGGGGGGAGAGAUUGUAAGACUUUGAUUUUAUUUCGGCUUGGAUGAGUUUUGACUCAUUGCCUACGUACCGUUUUACAGGAUCAAAACCGGCGUAGUUCUUGCUAAAAAGACUUGUUUUUCUUUUGUUUUAAUUGUUUGAUUUUAAGUUUUGAAAAAAAGGUUUUGAAGAAGGAGAUUGGGAGGCUUCAUGAGCAUUAGAUUUUAGCAAAAGGUGAAGUUUGAUUAGUGAUUAGAAAAAAAGUCUAAAUGAUUAAGAUGAAUUGAAUUUUCCUUAAGAGAAAAAAAAAAAGAAAGGAAAAAAAAAAAUGAAGUGUUGACUUCAUACUUAUUAUGAAAAUUUUUGAAGUGAAGUUCAAUUGUUUUUUUUGGAAAAAAGAUGGAUUUUCUCUAAGUGUUUAAAACCUAAACGCUUAUUUAACCAUACAAUCCUAUGCAUACAUCUAAGGUGAGUGUGUGCGUGUCGGUGCAUCAUAGUGUCCAUAGUCCAUAUUACAAAAAUUGCCUAAAUACAUUCUAUGGCCCCUUUGCCAAGCUACAAACCAAUGAUAACAAAUUACAUUACCAAAUGAAUUAAAACUUGCAAAAGAUAAAGGCUAGGCUAAAGAAAGUGGAGGGAAUGCUAAAUGGGAUGCAUGAAACAUGGAAAUAAACUUGUUAGUGAAAAGAAAAAACAUAACAAGUACUAAGAAAUAAAAGCAUGCAAGAUGGCACAAAAAGUUAACAAAAUGACAUUAAACCCUAAAAACUUAGGUAUGAAACCUAAAGCAUUCUUGGCCUCUAAUUCUCAUGCUUUAACAAAUUUUGAAAGAGUUUUCUUUAUCUCAAGUUAUAGCAUAGAAUUAUUGGAAACAUGCAAACAUGGUUUCAUGCCACAUUUUCUAGAAUAAACUUGGCAUUUUAUAUCUUUCAAAAUAUGCAUAUAUUGUUCAUAAAAUCAAGCACUCAUGAACCAAAUCAAAACAGCAAAUCAACAUGAAAUUAUUGGCACAAAUCUCUCAUAUUAACACGUCAAGUAGCUUUUAUUUCAUAUUCUCACAUCAAGGACAAAUGUGUGAAGAAGAAUCCAUAACAAAUAAUUCAAAGAGAAUUAAAAUGCUAUGAAUUAAUUAUACAAAAAUUUCAUAGAUCCUUAAUGUUCAAAAAUGUCAUAAAAACACUAAGAAAAUAUCAAGAAACAUGUGAUAAUUUUUUGGAGGUUUUUUGGAGAAAAUUUUAAGCAUGCAGGGGUUCAAACAGCAAAGAAAUAUGGUGCAAAUAGCAGGAAAACAAACAAAAACGUAAAAGAACAAAGCCCAAACCAAAGGCCCAAUACACUAGAAGAUCCGGUUGCACAGGAACCAUACGAUUGAUCCAGGAUUCUGAAACCCUAGAUCAGACGGCCAGGAAUCAAAGGGGGAAUGGACCGGACUGGACCGGUCCGGUUCGCUGGCUUAUAAAAAGGAAGGAGCUCCGGUUUAUUUCAUUUUGCUGCUCUCAUUCUCUCUCUAACUCUUCUCUCUUCUCUCAUCUCUCAUCUCUCACUAACUUCGCCGCCGGCGAGGAUGAAGCUACGGCGGAGACCUUGAAGGUCCGCCGGAAACUUCAUCUUCUCCGGCGAGUUCAUGCAGUUUCCGGUGACCUAAAUUUCCAGAUUUCAAAGAUUCUUACUCCAUUUGAUUCGUCCUUUAACCCUAAACACGAAUCCAGCAGUUGUUUUUUCAAAUUCAAGUCGAAACGAUGUAGAUCUGGAAAUUUGCCGUACGGCUUUGAAUUUGAUUUUGAUUUUUUGAAAGAUAACGUUUAGAUCCUUGAAGAUCUACAUCAUUUCGUUGUUUAACACCUCUUUGAUGUUUGUUCUUGCUUUCAAAACUUAGAUCCUUAUGGAUCUAGGUUUUGUGUUUACGGUUACGGUUUUGGCUUUGAAUUCUGGAAAUUUGGAUCUGUUUUGCUUGCGUGAUUUUUAGGUUUAACAGUGAUAUUGCUUUUGAAAAAGAUUAUGAGUUUUACCUAAGGUUUUGGUUGAAACCUUUAAUGGAGAAAUUCUUUGGAAAACUUCAAUCUCUGAUGCUACGUGAUUUGGCUUUGAAUCCGGAAAUAAACCGGUGUUCCUGCUGGUUUCUUGCUUUAUCGUCUUCUUCGCCGGUUUAAACCUUCAUUAUCUUUCUUUCUUCUUCGUCUUCCUCACUGUAUCUUCGUGAUCGGUGCUGGAGUUUGCCUUUGGCGAAUUCGCACCUUGAAUUGCGAAGAUACUGAUUCAAUGAUGAUGAUUCUUCAAAGAAUCACUGAGAAUCCAUGAAAAAUAGCUUGAAUUUGUGUAGUUUCUGUUUCUGGAAAAGGUUAGGUUUACGCCAUUGAUGAAUGUUGAAGCUUUUUCUGUUUUGAUUUGUAACUGACAAGAGAGAGUGUGACUCUGUGUUUAUGAGUUGGCACCUGAUGAAUGGCUUUGAGUGGCACUGUGCACCUUUUAUAGCAUGACAUGUGUGCCUCUGAACAAAUGAGAAAGUGACACCUGGACCUGGAAAAAAAAAUGACACGGCCUUGGACAAAAAAUCAAAUUUGGACCUUCUUGCAAAAAACAAAACUUAAGGACUAAACUGCAAUUGACCAAAAAAGGACUAAAAUGAAAAUUGGAAGAGAAACUGGACUGAAAUGUAAUUUUGGGACCUCAAUUGAGGGACCAAAAUGUAAUAAAAAAUAAAAUUGAAUAAAACGUAAUUUGACCAAACGUAAAGCGAAACAAAAAUAAAAUUGACAAAACGGACUAAAACGAACCAAUGGCCUAAAUGAGGUACUUCAAAGUAACCUCCCCAUGCCAAAAUUUUAUGCGAAAUGACCAAAAUGCCCCUAGGGCUAAAAAUGACCUAAACAGAGCCAAAAUGACUCGACACUGACUCAGAUGCAAGUUUGAAAUGAAAUUAGCAAGGUUUACUGAUGGAAAGUUAAAAAUGAAUUUGAAAAGACCCAGAGACAGUCACAAGGAUGAAAAUGGGUCCCACUGCAGGAAAUGACCAAAAUACCCUUCUGUAUGACUUUUUUUGCAAAUUUUGAAAUAAACUGUAGAAAAAGCAAUGUAAUGAUUCAGAGACACUUUUGAAUGACUUACAAGACAAGUAAAGACAUUUCGAAAGGUUUUAUGCAAGAAAAACAUAGGUAAAAUUGUGAUUGAAAAUACUGCGAGGCAGAGACAAUUUGAACUGUGCAGUUGAAAUUUGAUAAUUGACAAAGUUUAAAAAUGAAAUUGGGCCCAGUAUUUUUAGGUCCAAAAACAGGGUAUAACAAGGAUGAAGUAAAUGAACAAUGUCAGCUUAUAAUUCUGUAGUGUCAUUUUUUCUAUUUAUAAUGAGUUUUUACUACUAUUAUUAUUUGUAAUAAAUCUUUUCUAAAAAACUUUGUAUAAUUUACUUUAUUUAUGAAUUACAAUAUUUACUAUUUUUUGGGUGUUUUUAUUUUAUAUGAAGGAAUCAUUAGAAAUAGACAUGUAGUUAUUAUUUGGUUGUGGGUUUGUUUGGUCACUCAACUUUGUUCGCAUGAAUUUUGAUCUUAAUCUCGAUGCUAUCGAGUCACCUUUAAAAUGAGAAACCUAAUCAACAAUAUUUGUAGGUGGUUUUGUCAACGUUAUUUUACCAUGCAAUUUUUUUUUUCUCCUAUGAAGAAGACUCUAUUUACAUGUUUAUCUAAUCUCACUAAAACAAUAUUGAAGCCCAUUGCAUAAAAUAUUAACUUCUUUUUUCCAAUUCUCACUUGAUGGUUACAUGUGGCGUUAAGAUUGAUACGAUAAUUUUAUCUUGAAUCACAUUCAAACAGAUGGGUCUAAAGACCACGUUGUUUUCAAUUUUUUUGUUGCCAAGAAUACUAUUGAGGAGGUCAUUAUGAACACGGAAGCACCCUACUCCAUAAAUCUAAUGUAUGGCAUCCUUACGGUGGCUUCAUUCCUUCUAAGUGACUUCAUUCCUUCUAAUGAGUGGUGAGAUAUAGUAUAUUGUCAUAAUAAGAUCGAACAUAUGGAAGUGACUUUCAGAUUGUGACUUGGCUUGCACGUUACGCACAUUUAAACAGACAAAGAUGAAGACAUCUUCAAUCAUUUUUAUUGUAAAAAACUAUACACACAUACUCUUUAGAUAUUAUUUGAUCAUUUGUAUCGUGUUAUUCUAGUUGGAAUGAUUUAUAUAAUCGGUUAUAUGCCAGUGUUGGAUGCAUAUCAUGUUUGACACUAACAAAAUAUGUAUUUUGCGUAUUUUGCUAGUGAAUUGAUGAGUAAUUUUCUUUUUCAAAUGACGAGGUGAUGAUAUGGGGUGCUACGUGUAUGAGAAUAUGAGAUUCUACAAGUGGAUGGAUGUAUAUGACUUAUGACUUGUUUUACUUUUUGAAAAAGAAUAUGGAUUUUGAAUAAUUUAGAUUGUAUUGGGUAGUUUGCAUAUGGUAUUUGUGUAGUUUGGAUGUGUACACCAAAUUACUUGUUCUAGAAAAUGAGUGAAAUAUUACGUUUGAAUCUUAAUAAUAUACAAAUGUGAAGCUACAAAUAGGAAAAAAAUUUUGCCCCAAUCCAAUGUGUCAAAAUUCUAAGCCUCCUACAAUAAAUCAUCAUAUUUUAUAAUCUCAUUUUACCAUCACUUAUAGUAAUAGGGACAACAAAACCAUAACAAUUUCAAAUUUACACAAUAAAAAUAACAUCAAAAUUCAUUUUAGUUCAUAAAAAAUUGAAUGUGUUAAUUUCCCUCUAAGAAAUGUCAUUUUCAAGUGUGUUAUUAAGAAAAAAACAAAUGUUCAAUUUGAAAUGAGGCCCAACUAUGCUAAGCCCAGCACUCAAACUCUCCUCAUUUUCAGAAUCAUUCAAUGCAAAGCAACAGAAAGGGAAAGCUUUCCCUGCCAUCACUGUUUUCACGUUGGAAAAUCUCUCUUUCACGUUGGAGUGGACUUGAGAGAUUUGUUUGUUUGUUUGUUUGAUGAAUUUUCCAUAAAUAUACUUAGGCUACUGCAACUAUUCCAUCAAAUUUAGUACUUAUAUUUUCUUCAUUUUUCUUUUGCUUUAUAGCUCUACCUUGCCACCAUUUUGAGAAGAGUAAUCUGAAAUUGAGAAGAGGAAAGUAAAGGUUGACAUUAAUGUGCUUUGUUUUCAACCUCAUUGGCCUUUCUUUACACAAUGUGAGUGGAUAUCUUCCUAUAAACUUUUAAAUUUUAUUUUUCAUUAGAGGCUCUUCCUAUCCUAAGUUUUUAUUGAAUGUUUUUCAUUUUGUAUUUCUCUCUGUUUCAUUGAUUUCAUGAACAGCUCCACUGCGUCGGAGCAAUCGACACCAUCUCUUUGAAACUGUUUCCCCAUCAUCAUGAGUAAGUAUUCAUCCUUCAUAUUUUGUGCUCAAGUUCUUUAUCUGAUUUGUUGUGUUUUUUUCUUAGAAGUUGUGAAGUUGUUUGUUGUAUCAACUAGAAACAUUUAUCAGUUUUGAUAUAAUGUAACUAAAUUUUGUGAUUGAAAAUAGAAAUUGAAAUUCCAUUUGUGCUAAAGUUCUUUAUCUGGUUUGUAAUCUUGGGAUAUAACUACAGAAACAUUUGGAAUUUUUUGAUUUUUUCUUGAUAAUUUGGAUUGAUUUCUUUUGAUUGUUUAUGGAAGUUUUUGUUUGAGCAUGACAUGUGGCUUCUGUCACGAUUUUGGAGCAUCUGCAAGUUAACAUAUAGAUUUAUACUGAGGGCCUCUGUAAAUUGUAAGUCUUUUGAUUACUUUGUGUCUGUUUCGAGUUCUAAUUGUCAAUGUUAUAACUUAUAGGUUCAUUUAUCUAUUGAAGCAUCUUAGGCAUGUUUUGAUGUCCUUGUUUUUUGGCUGUUUCGGUUCUAUGAACUAAGGAAAGAUCCUAUCUGUAGUUCUCAUUAAGCCUUUAUUGCAACUCAUGUGAUGGAUAUGUAUACUUCAUUAUACCUUCGGAGUCACUAGAGCAACUUAAAUAUAGAUAUUUUGUUGUAUCCCUAGAGCAAUUAAAAGUAUCAUCUUGCUUAUUUGCUAUGAUCAAUGAAAUAUAUUAGCAUGAUACGUACAAGUAAUUAGAUACUUUUAGUAGAUCAUCGUCAUUUUUAAACUUAAAAUUAGAUUGAUGGGAUAGAACAAAAUAACUAUUGGUUUGUGGACAAUCAACCCAUGGGGAUCAAUGGAAGGUUACAAAGCUGAAACAGUAUGUAAGGGUGGAUUUGAGUUCACUAUGAUACGAAAUUGCAACUGUUAUGAUGGGGUACAUGAAUAAGAACCGGUUUUCUUACAUGCAACUGCAACUGUUAUUUUUUUUAGUCUGAAUAUGUCCUUUGCAAUCUUUUUUAGUGAAGUCUUAUAUAAAUCGGGACAUUAGAUACACUUUGUUUAUGGUCAAAUAUGUACAGGCAUACUUAAUUUGAUGUUAGGGUUGUGAAAAGAUUUGAUAGACUGUAAUGUUGGCAUUUACUAUUAGUAGGAUGUUUAAUUUAUUUAUUUUGGACAAAAUUAAUGGUUGUAUAAUGUUGGCACUUGCCAAAUAGUUAUUUGUCGAAUAUUUAAGAAUUGAAUUCAACCUAUCAAAUAACAAAUGAUAACACAUUUUCGAUGACUAAGUUUUCUUUUCCAAUCACGUUAAUAAUUAAUAUUCUUUUUAGACAAUUAUUCAUUAUAUUAGUAUAAAAUUAUUUGAGUAAAGUUUUAUCACCCGUGCUGUUUUAUAUCAUGAUACAAAUAAUUCAUGAUAUGGUUGUAUCAGUUCCUAAAUAUCGGAACAAUUUAAUUUUUGAAUUGACUGCACCGUAACUAUAAUUUCAUAGUAUUGAAGCACUUUGAAACACUGCAGUUUUAAAACUAUUGUGCCCAAACAUGUGCAGGAUUGAUGGCUCCUAUCUCCAGUUAGUGAGAAAUUGGUUUUGAAGUUUGUAGGGUUGAUGGUUAGUGAGACUGGAGGAUAUAAAACAACAUGUUUGUACCGAUGGUUGAUGCUUUCAUGUCUUACUUCAAUAGGGGUAGGACAUUACUUUAAUAACCAAGUAUAUGGAUUUAAAUGGAGUUGUAUGGUUCAUAUUAACUACAAAGACUAUGAUUCAAAUCUGGGAGACUAUAUGUAUUAGAUUUAAUAUCAAAGUCUUAUAUUCCUCAAACAUGGGGCUAUAGAUAUUUAAUUUAUGUUUCUAUUGAUAAUGAAGGUACAAUCAUGUUGAUUUUAACAUUUGUAUUCAAUAUAUUGGAUAUAUUUUUAUUCAUUUAAAUUAUUGAUGAAAUAUAUUAUAUAUAUUAAGUUUUAUACAUUAUGCAUUGAGAAUCAACAUUUGCUUAUUACAAUAAGACAAAUUUUUGUGAUGACAACAACAUUUGAUUUGUCUAAGAAGUGCAUUAUAUGUUUUUAUUUUGAUUGUACGUUCAGAGUAAUAUUUUUUUAACGCCACAAUAAAUCCUUUUUCGCCCGUGCGUUGCACGGGUGGAAAUACUAGUAUACAACAGUUGAGUGGAAUAAAAUGAAAUGCAAUUGGUGUGUAUGUACAAUUUUGAUGGUAAGGAUGAAUGGUUAUUUAAUAUGUUGAGGUGAAAGUUUGAAUACGUAAUGUUUUAUUUCUGUUGAUUUUACUUUACAUUUAUUGUUAUAUUUUUAUAUUUGAAUAUAAAUACAAGAUUGACACUUUUAUAUAUAUAUAUAUAUAUAUAUAUAUAUAUAUAUAUAUAUAUAUAUAUAUUAUUUUUGAGAGAAACAUCUAUAUUAUUGUUAAAUUUCACAAAAUAAUUCAUCAAUUUGCUUGCCUGGUUUAACAACAAUCGGAAAUAUUAUUUGCGAGUAUCUAAUAGGUUCAAAUCCAAUUGAUAUCCCUAGUUAAAAAGGAAUUUAGAAGUGAACUUUAGACCAUUUCAAUGAUUACUCUUUUGGCUUUUCUUUGCUUGUAAUGAGAGUAACAUCACCUUUUCUUCAAACUAUUUGAUCUUCACAUAAAGCCUCUACCACCUCCACAUAUAGUAUGUGUUACUGAAUUUAGAAGCAAAUCAUGCUUUAUACACCUUCAUACCAUAGAAGCCCUCGUCAUCGAAAGCGGGAAGAAAUGAAGGGUGUUUGAUGUAGAGUUUUUAUUUUUUAUAAGCUUGGAUGGAUCAACUCCAUUGGUAUGAGUUUGAGCUAGAAGAAUAAAAUCAUUUGCAUAAUUUAGAAAUUAAUCCCAUAAAUUAUAACCACAUACAUAUUUAGCAAAUCAACAUUCUUUUAUCCCUGUUUGCCAAUUUUCUAUAUUUUUUAUUGAAAAAUAAAAGUUUAGGUGAGUUGUGUCUCGGUCUGAAAGCCAUUUACUAAAUAUGUUAUAGUUAAACUAUCCGCCAAAAGGGAAGGUUAUGUUAAAAUUGUAUCUUUGUUUGUUAUAAUUAGAUAGCUUGGAGAACAAGUUACUUUGCAACUCCAUAGAAUCUUACUAUACACUAGCUGCAUCUAAUCUUAAUUCACUAGAAAGUUUGUUAGGAUCUUAAACAGCUAUAUAUAGCUUGCUGUAACCGUUUUCUUCUCAAUUCUAUGAAUCUAGCUUUUAUCUCAAUUUUCUCUCCUUCUUCUUUGUUAAGCUUCUGCAUUUCUUCAACUUUCACCAUGGAUAUGGUGAAGUUUAACAUGGUAUCAGAGCUCUUUUGAGCUCUGCUGCGCAUCGUUCUUCCUUCGUUUCUUCUUCUUCUUCGUUUUACGAUGGUUCGUGGAAACGCCGCCACUAACGGUGGUGCAAAUGGAGGAGCUAUGAUUCCUCCACCUCUUGAUCCUUCGCAACAACCUGGUAACGUGUAUUACGUUCAUUCUUCCGAUGGUCCUUCCUCUGUCAUUGUUACUCCGGUAUUGAACAACUCAAAUUAUCACUCUUGGGCGCGUUCAAUGAGAAGAGCUUUAGGAGGAAAGAACAAGUUUGAUUUUGUGGAUGGAUCAAUUCCAGUUCCUAUGGAAUUUGAUCCAAGUUUCAAAGCAUGGAAUCGUUGUAACAUGCUUGUGCAUUCAUGGAUCAUGAAUUCUGUUGAAGAUUCUAUUGCACAGAGUAUUGUGUUUCUUGAGAACGCCAUGGAUGUAACACCCCGUUUUCCCAAUAUACAAAUUUCUUAAACAUUUAUCAGAGUAAAAACCAUAAACGGGAUAUCACAUAGAAACGUAAUCCAAAAGCAGUUAAAUAAUAAUUUAACUUCCACAUAAUAUCUUAAUAUAGCAGCGGAAUAUUAGUUCAGAAGUCAUAAAUCAAUUUGGCACGCAGGCCCCAACAAAGUAUCUCAAAAGAGUUAAUCAAAACAGAAAUUAUCAUAGCAGUUCACGUAAAAGAAUGAAGCAUGUUAUAGCAUAUAACCCCAUCCCGUUAUGUAUCAGAGCGACCUAGACAACACAGUGAAGGCAAGGCCAACUCACGAAAGCAAACUGCACACUAAGCACGAUCACCUGCAAGUUACCCAUACGAAGGGCAACAUUUUCAAGCAGAAGGGGUGAGAUUUCAUAAUCAAAUAACAUUAAUCAAUGUAAUUGCGAAUCAUAAAUUAACAUCAUAAUCAUUCCUUAAAUAACAUUGCAUAAUUGCUAAACAGUUAUAACAUAAUCAUAUAUCCAAUUAUCAUGAACAACAUAACAUAUUCGAUAACCACUUAUCACAUAAUCACGUAAUCAAUCAUUAUCAACAAGGCAUCUUAAUCAUGACAAUGCGACAAUGCUCUUAGACUCCUUAUAUGCAUGUGGUACCAAUCGUCAUCAUAAGUAUUAAUAUACUUUAAUCGUGCGGAGGACAAAGCUCCUAUAAAACGUGCGGGGGACAAAGCUCCUAAUAUUCGUGGUGAGGACUAAGCUCAAUGAGAUGCUAUGCAUGGACACUUAUGAACAAAACAUCGUAAUCAACAUAUCAACAUGCAUCCAAUAAUUUGGAGCUAACUUCAUCAUAUACUUAUACACUUAGUUAAAUAACGGAAGCAGCAUAAACAGGUCACAUAAACGAGAUGAUAUUAUUAUAUCAAUAGCACAUAAAUUGCAUCAUUAUCAAGCUUUCAUAUCUUGCAUGAAUAUACAAUACAUUAGUUCAUGUCCAAUUAAUAUCAACAUAACUUAAACAACUCUACAGACUGCAUUAAACGUCAUCAUUAGGUCUUAAUGCCAAUUAGGGGUUCGCUCUUGAUCCACACGUGCGACACAGAUCGUACAAACACUCAAACAAACUACAUCCUGGGCUAGCUCGCGAGACGAAAGUUCUCACUCGCCAUGGCGAGUACCACUCAUCUCCCAAACUAAUGUUGUUCUGGGUUCCCUCUGAUCCUACAUUCAUUCCCAAUCAAUACUAGGUAUGUUCAGGCACUCAAAGGCACUCAAGGUCCAACUAAAAAGGUCGGAACACAAAAUCUAACAUGCACUCUGCCUAAGCUCGCGAGGCGAGGAAGGGUUGCUCGCAAUGGCGAGCUGCAUCACACAACUCGCGAGGCGAAGGGCGUUGCUCGCCAUGGCGAGUUGCACCAAAAAACUCGCGAGGCGAAGGGAAAGGGCUCGCGUGGCGAGCGAUGAAGUUCAUCACUCGCGAGGCGAGGAUCAUCCCUCGUCGUGGCGAGCGAUGAAUAGAAGCACGGGCAGACUACGGGUUUUCUCGAAAAUCCAACAAACAACAUGGUUCAAAGCCUAAUUUUGAUUCCAUAAUCCAUCCUAAACAUGUUCUAAGGUUAAAGGACGGUUUCUACAUCAAUCUAAACAAGUUUUACCGUUUGAUCAUCAAUUUUUAGGGUUUUGACCUAAUUUCCAAACUUUUCUAAAUCAAUCCUAACUUUGUCAUUUAAUCAUCAGAAUUACAGCAAUCAACGUUAUUGAAUUAUUAGUCUCACCCUUACCUUGUUUGAAGAAAAUCGCAGCACUCUUCCUUGGUUUCUCUAGACUUGGCUUUUUCUCCCUUUUUCUCCAAAACAGUCGUACGUACAAUGUUUUUCUAAAACUAGGUCUAACCUUUAUAUACCUCUUCUUAAUUACUUAUUUUAUCUCACUUUCUCCCCCAAAACUAUCUAAAAUAUCAAAACAGCCCUCAACUAAAUAUUUUAUAUUAUUUUCAAAUCUUUAUUUUAUUUAACAAUAAAAUAAAUCCCUUAAUCUUAUCAAAUCUUCCAAAACUCAUAACUUAUCACGUCAUCCAUCAAAUCACCAAAAUCAUCGCAAAUCAUCAAAACAUAUCAAAAUCAUGCAUAUAUUAUAUAAAUAUAAUAUAAUCGCCUAAACUCGAUUAAAUAAGCAAUUAACAAAAGUGGGCGUUACAAUGCAUGUUUGGAAUGAACUCAAGGAACGGUUUUCUCAAGGUGAUUACAUUCGUAUUUCUGAAUUACAAUGCGAAAUCUUUGGAUUGAAGCAAGAUUCGCGUUCAGUUUCUGAGUUUUUCACUACAUUGAAGGUUCUAUGGGAAGAACUUGAAGCAUAUCUUCCCACUCCGGUUUGUGCUUGUCCCCAUCGUUGUACGUGUAAUACUGGUGUGCUUAAUGCUAAGCAUCAGCAUGAGAUUACACGCUCUAUCAGAUUCCUCACUGGUCUCAAUGAUCAAUUUGAUCUUGUACGUUCUCAAAUCUUGUUGAUGAACCCUUUACCAACUCUCAACAAGAUUUUUUCAAUGGUAUUGCAGCAUGAAAGACAAUUUAGAGUUUCUAUUCCUGUUGAUGAGUCAAAAAUCCUUAUCAAUUCAGUGAAUAAGUUUCAAGGGCGAGGACGUGGUAAUGGAAGUACUUCUGGUGGUGCAAAGCGUUCUUGUUCCUUUUGUGGACGAAGUAAUCAUACUGUUGAUACUUGCUAUAAGAAGCAUGGUUUCCCUCCAAAUUAUGGUAAGAAUUUUGCUAAUGCUAACAAUUCCUCCCUUGAGAUGCAUGAAGAAAGGGAGGAUCUUGAUGAUUCAAAAAGCUGCAAAGGAAGUGAUUCUUUUAGCAUGACAAAAGAGCAAUAUGAACAUCUGGUUAAUCUUCUUCAAACUCAACAAAGUUCUUCUAGGAGCAAGGUGAACCAUGUCACUAAUCAUGUGACAUCAGGUAUAUCCACACUUUCAUAUGCUCUGAAUCACUGCAGUUUUGGUUCAUGGAUAGUUGAUUCAGGAGCAAGUGAUCAUAUAUGCUCAUCUAUUAAAGCUUUUGAUUCCUAUCAAUCUAUUAAACCUGUUCAUAUUAAGUUACCAAAUGGUAACAUAACUAUAGCAAAAAUCUCUGGCACAGUGCAAUUCUCUUCAGGACUUGUUGCCAAAAAUGUGUUAUAUGUUGCAGACUUCAAAUUAAAUCUUUUGACUGUACCCAAACUAUGUGUUGAUGAUGAUUGCAUAGUAACUUUUGAUAAUGAUAAAUGUUUAAUACAGGAAAGGAGGAACUUGAAGAUGACUGGUUUGGCUGAUUUGAUAGAGGGAUUGUAUUUUCUGACCACUCAAGCUUCCCCAUCAACCAAACCUCAAUUUGUCAUAGCUUCUAUCAACUCUCAAAGUUCUUCUUUUCUACCUCAAGAAGCCUUAUGGCAUUUUAGAUUAGGUCAUUUGUCCAAUCAUAGAAUGCUUAGCUUAAAACAGUCUUUUCCUUGUAUUAAGAUUGAUGACAAUUCAGUUUGUGAUAUAUGUCAUUACUCUAGACAUAAGAAAGUACCUUUUCAUCUCAGUGUAAAUAAAGCAAACAAAUGCUAUGAAAUGUUUCAUUUUGAUAUAUGGGGUCUUGUUUCUAUUCCUUCUAUUCAUGGUCACAAAUAUUUCAUUACUGCUCUUGAUGAUCACAGUCGUUUUACUUGGAUCAUCCUAUGUAAAUCAAAAUUUGAAGUUCAAAAACAUGUUCAAAAUUUCAUUAUCAUGAUAGAAAAUUAGUUUAGUUGUCAUGUUAAAACUGUUAGGACGGAUAAUGGUCCUGAAUUUCUUAUGUCAGAAUUCUAUUCUUCUAAAGGCAUUGAGCAUCAAACAAGUUGUGUUGAGACUCCCCAACAAAAUGGGAGAGUAGAAAGAAAACAUCAACACAUCUUGAAUGUAGCUAGAGCUUUACUUUUCCAAUCAAAAUUACCUAAACAGUUCUGGUCUUAUUCAGUUUUGCAUGCAGUUUACAUAAUCAAUAGAAUUCCUACUCCUCUGCUGCAAAACAAAUCCCCUUAUUUUCUCAGAUUUGGUAAUAAUUGUGAUUUAAAUGAUUUCAAAGUCUUUGGUUGUCUUUGUUAUGCCUCUACCUUACAUAAUCAUAGAACAAAAUUUGACUCUAGAGCCAAAAAGUCUCUUUUCUUAGGAUACAAGCAAGGUGUUAAAGGAGCUAUUCUUUUUGAUCUUGACACCAAAAUCAUUUUUGUGUCCAGACAUGUAACCUAUCAUGAACAUAUUCUUCCUUACUCUAAUUCAAAUCAACCUUUUCAAUGGCAGUACCAUUCAAAUCAACCUAUAUCUUCUGCCAUUGAACCUAUCACCAAUCUCAACACUAAUCAAAAUGAAUCCACUGUAACCAAAGCCAUUAACCCUGAAGAUUCUGAAACUGAGAUAUCUUCCAACAUUGAACUUGAUGAUCACAUUCAACCACAUUCACAAACUUUACCUGAACCAGAUUAUUUAUCUCUUAGAAAAUCAACCAGAAUUAUACAAAAACCAACCUAUCUGUCAGACUAUGUAUGCAAUCUCUCUAAAGAAUCAGACAAUUCAUCAUCUUCAGGUAUACUUUAUCCUAUCACUCAUUUUCAUUCACUCAAUAGUUUAUCCCCAAACAUCAGAAGUUUGCUCUAGCUGUUACUAAUGCUGCUGAACCUACAAGUUACAAUGAAGCAAGCAAGCAAGAGUGUUGGGUUAAGGCUAUGGAAUCUGAACUUGAUGCUUUGAAACACAAUAAAACUUGGAUUUUUGUGGAUUCACCACCCAAUGUCAAACCUAUUGGUAGUAAAUGGGUGUAUAAAAUCAAACAUAAGGCAGAUGGGAGCAUAGAGAGGUACAUGGCCAGACUGGUGGCUAAAGGCUAUAAUCAAGUUGAAGGCAUUGAUUUUUUUGACACUUUUUCACCAGUAGCCAAAAUUACUACUGUCAGAACUCUCCUUGCCUUAGCAUCAAUCAACUCAUGGCAUCUACACCAAUUAGAUGUGAACAAUGCUUUUCUCCAUGGAGAUUUAUCUGAAGACGUUUACAUGACUAUUCCUCAAGGUGUUGUCAACAUAAAACCAAAUCAAGUGUGUAAAUUGUUGAAGUCUCUUUAUGGUUUAAAGCAAGCCAGCAGAAAAUGGUAUGAAAAAUUGACUAGUUUCUUAAUCAGUCAAGGUUACAAACAGUCUGCUUCUGAUCAUUCCCUCUUCACUCUUCAUUCAGAUCCCAUGUUCACUGCUCUUCUUGUGUAUGUGGAUGAUGUCAUUUUAGCAGGGAAUUCAAUGGAUGAGAUCAAUAAAAUCAAGGUUACCCUUGAUGCAGAAUUUAAAAUCAAGGAUCUUGGUCAACUUAAAUAUUUCCUUGGCAUAGAGGUGGCACAUUCUAAACUUGGAAUUAGUAUAUGCCAAAGAAAAUAUUGUCUUGAUCUUCUUCAUGAUACAGGCUUACUUGGUUCAAAGCCAGUUUCAACACCACUUGAUCCAUCUAUAAAGCUACACCAAGAUACUUCAAAAGCUUUUGAUGAUAUUUUUAGCUAUAGAAGACUUGUGGGAAAACUCUUGUAUCUCACCACAACCAGACCAGACAUAGCUUUUGUAACUCAACAACUAAGUCAAUUUCUAUCAACUCCAACCAUUACUCAUUAUGAAGCAGCUUGCAGAGUUGUCAAGUAUCUUAAAGGCACUCAUGGUCAAGGUUUAUUAUUCAGAAGAGAUUCAAUUUUACAGAUACUUGGAUUUACAGAUGCAGAUUGGGCUGGAUGUCCUGAUACUAGAAGAUCCACUUCUGGUUAUUGUUUCUUCCUUGGAUCUUCCCUCAUUUCAUGGAGAGCUAAGAAGCAGCAUACAGUUUCCAGAAGUUCAUCUGAAGCUGAAUACAGAGCACUUUCUUUUGCUAGUUGUGAAUUACAAUGGCUUCAUUAUUUGUUGAAAGAUUUGGGAGUGUCAUGCAUCAAGUCACCUGUAUUGUACUGUGAUAAUCAGAGUGCAAUACAUAUUGCUGGGAAUCCUGUGUUUCAUGAGAGAACAAAACACUUGGAGAUAGAUUGCCAUUUUGUUAGAGAAAGAUUACAGCAGGGUCUUUUCAAGUUGCUUCCUAUCAAGUCUCAAUCACAACUUGCAGAUUUCUUUACUAAGCCUUUGCCACCUAAGAACUUUCAUUCUUUCAUUUCCAAGCUCAACAUGUUGGACUUAUACCAUGCUAAGCUUGGAGGGAGGGUGUUAAAAUUGUAUCUUUGUUUGUUAUAAUUAGAUAGCUUGGAGAACAAGUUACUUUGCAACUCCAUAGAAUCUUACUAUACACUAGCUGCAUCUGAUCUUAAUUCACUAGAAAGUUUGUUAGGAUCUUAAACAGCUAUAUAUAGCUUGGCUGUAACCGUUUUCUUCUCAAUUCUAUGAAUCUAGCUUUUAUCUCAAUUUUCUCUCUUUCUUCUUUGGUAAGCUUCUGCAUUUCUUCACUUCACCAUGGAAAAUAGGGUGAAGUUUAACAGGUUACACAACGAACAUCCCUCAAAAGGGAGUUAGAGAUAAAAGCAGGAAUUAAAUUAAAAAUUCCACAAGUAACAUAUGAAGAAAACCCCGACUUGGCUACACUAUCCGCCACAAGAUUGACCUCUAUCUCAAAACAUAAGUGAUUUUGACAUAAUCAUAACCGAUACCGAAAGCAAUGCUAUAGAUAAUGAGUAUUGCUAGCAAAACUCAAAAACUCACUUCAUUAUUGGUUCAAAUUAAGGUGGGGCUCACACAUUCGAAAUGGGUUUCACUUAAAGUGUGGGAUAUACACUAGUUUCAUCCAAUAAAAGAAUGAAUGUUAAAGAGAGUAUCCCAAGCAUUACUCAUAAAACAAUUAACUCCGAACCAUACCCAUCCCUAGUAAGCAUAAUUUCAAACCAAGGUUUCAACCGACGGUAAUUAAUUUCUUUUUUUUUUUUAACAAAGAGAAGAAAAUAACGUAAUUAAUUGUUGUUUGUUGGGUCUUUUUUUUUCUUCUUUCUUCCAGGUGCUAUAAUAGUAUAGAGCAAUUAAUUGUCUUAUCUUUGUUAGCUUCAAAACUCCACAAGUAAUAAGGGUAAAUAAGUAAUUACAUAGUAACCCUAUGUUAUCUUUCAAUUUCAAACAAUCUCUUCCACUUCAGUCUUCUUCUUCUUCUCUCACGAUCACAACCACCACAGUCACAAAGCAUUCAGCUUUGUUUUCUGUCAUCAUCACCGAUUCUUCCUCUCAAUAAACAACUAGGGUUCCAUCUUUUCCUCCUCUACUUAAUCCGCUGUGAGCAUUCUGGCUUUUCCUACUCUUUCAUAUUCGCGCACAUAACAUGUUUGUGAAAUGUCCUCUGUGGAUUCUCUGUUUAGAAUAACCCUGCAAGCUCAAAUUUUAACUAUCCUUAUGUUUUUAUGUAAUUAGAUGUUGGAAUAAUAUAUCAUAGUACUACCCUUUGAUGCUCAGUUUUAGAAUCUCUUGCUGAUAACUCUUUUUUCAACCAAUUGAUUGAAAUUCAAAAAACAUUGAAUAAAAGGAACUGCAAGCAAACAUGAAAGCAAAGUCCAACAACAAGUAUUCGAAAUGUGGUGCUAUAAAAUAUCUUUUGUUUGCAAUAAACGACGACUGCAAACUCGGCAUAUACAUUGGACACAAUAAUGAGUUGGUAAGGUAUUUGGAGGAUGGUCGUGAAGAUGAUGUACCUACAUUUACACAAACAAAUAUCAUACUGUUUACCGCGUAGAUUGAGAUAUAUUGGUUAUUAUUGUAUCCAACGUAUCUGUCUCGUCAACGUUUAGUACUGGAGGUCGAGUCCUUUACUCGUUUGGUAGUUAAUUAAAUCUCUACUGUUGAAGCUUUGAUUGCACCCCAAAUUGGAUCAAAUCUCUCAAGGUCAUUGAUUUAGAACUGGUUGAAGUGGGAAAGAUCGAGUAAAGUGUGGAUUCUUUGUUUUAAUUUUCAAAUCUUUUUGAUUAUAUUAUUAAAAUCAAAUUGUUUGUGUUUAAAUUUUAAGGUAUUUGUGAGUGUUGUAUUUAUUUCUUUGUGUUGCUGUCGUCGUCGUUGUGCUUAUUUAAAUUUUUAAUCUUAUUAUGUUUGGUAGUGUUAGGAUUGGAUUCGCUACUGCCUUUUGCAUUUGCAUUUUGUUGGUGUGCUGCUACUAGAUUUGUUGCUACAUGCUGUACCUACUGCUUUUGUUGCUACUUAAGUCUUAAUUUGUAUUUUGAUGUUGUUGCUACUGUUUUUGCAUUCAAUUUACAAUUAAAUCAUGUAAAAUUUUGGAUUUGCAUUCUGUUUGUUCGAGAUUUGCAUUAUAUUUGCUGAUUGCUUGCUAUCAUUUACAACUUCUAGAUUUUUGUGGAAAUUAUGUGUUUUAUGAAGAUUGGUACUAUUAUUAAGUUGGCUGAGCCUUCAAACGAGAAUCAUGAACGAGAGCUUCUUCGUCUUCUUCUAGCAUCAUAGCAAUGGAAAUCGGAAUUGAUUAUUGGAUAACGGUGAAACGGUUCGAAGAACGGUUAUGGAAAAUUGAACGGUAAUAGAGUAAUAGAGAGAACAUGGUUAUGCAGCACUCAAGUGAGGGGGUCUCAAAGUUACCUAUGGUUAUGGAGAAUUGUACGGAUCGAACUUUUCCAUUUUUUUUUCAUUUAUUUAAUUACUAUGAUGUAUAUGUGGCUUUUUCAUGGGUGCCUCAAAGUUGCAUAAGGGAGUAAAGUUAGAGGGUUGGAAAGUGGGUUUUUUUAAUAGGGGAUCAAAAUCGCAACUAUUGCAAGUUAUUUUAUUUUAGGAACAAAUAUUUGAAAGAUGGAGUCUUGGAGCAAAAGAAAGGAGAAUUUGAGCUAAUUCGUGCCAAAAAUAUGAAGAUCUGAUACAAAAAUAUCUUGUGCAAAUAAUUUGAAGAUCUUGUGCAAAAAUAUAACAAGUGGCGGGCCCCUUUUACCCUUUUGCUGCUUUUGCUUCUUCGACAAAGCUGCCUAUUUUAGUAUUUCAGACCUAGAGCCUAUGGUUUCUUGUGCAACACUUUAGUGAUUUAAUUCUUAGGGCUCAAGUCAAUGUUAGACUAUAAAUAGAUCAGUCCCCUAGUUUGUAAAACCAUCUUUUGUUCUUGAAAUAAUAAGUGACAAUUGUUUUCAAUAAAAAGAUCAACCUUUAUUUUAUGUUCUUCUUCUUCUUCUUCUCUUCUAUGUCUACAAUGAACGUGAGUGAGUAGACUCUUCUUGUCUUGGGAUUGUUGGAUAAGUCUAAUGACGUAAUCCUAAUCAAACCAAACCAUAAACCCUAAUUUUAUAUAAAUCCACUUUCUAAUCUAAUUUCACCGUUUUGAUAAUGAAUUAACAAAUACCAAACUCAUAAAGCGAACGCGGAGGGAUAGUAUUUGUUAAUUCAUCAUCACAAAUAUCAAUUCAUAAAAGCGAACACGGAGCUUUGAUAUUGGAACAAGUGAAAUUAGACAAGGAUUGCGAAAUAUGAGAAUAGUCUAGCAAACCUUGAGAAACAUAAAGUUUUGUUCUUCAAGGAUUCUAAUAACAAUCAACCAUGAGAAUAGGCGUGGUUGCUAGAGGAACACACUCAAUGAUUUUGAGAGAAACUUUGAUACGCUUAAGAGAAACUUGUCUUUAGAAAGUAGGUCCAAUAUAAAGUUUAGGUUUAGGGUUUGUUUGUGAAGGAAUUGUCACUAUGACGAACCAAUAAUCCCAAGGCGCUAUUAUUUUAUUAUUAUUAUUUUCUUUUAAUUAAACAAAAAUACAACUUUCUACCUUCUAAACUUUCAAUCUAAUCAUUGUUAAAAGUUAAUUGAAUUCAUAACUCCCUGUCGGAACGAUACUCUUUUUAUUACUUCGAUAGAACCGUGCACUUGCGGUUUUACUCAUCACCCCUGAAGUUGAGGAACACUUGGUAUGUGAGUCCAUAGGAAAAGGAUGAGGUAGAGGAAGGUGAUUGAAUAACCAUAUAUAACAACUACGCAGAAAUGGAAAUAAGAAUAUAGUUCAAGAAUGAAGAAUAUAUUAAUUUGUAAAGAUUUGGCACACUUGUCUAAUCCGCACAUCUGAACCAAUAAAAGGUUUAGAAGGUUGUUCAGAAGUUUCAUCAGAACAAACCCAUAAAUCAUUGUGCAUAUCAAGAACAUGCAAGAACAUACAUGAUAUGAACAUAUCAUAUGCAAAAAAGGAUUUCAACUCUAUGGUAAUUAAAUGAUUAAUGGACUUUGAUGUUCUUGGUAUUUAACAUAUGUUCUUAAGUGAUUAACCAAAACAGGAACAAAGUAUAAAUCAAACCAAGAUUCAAGUGAUCAAAGAACAUUAAAGCUUAUGAACCCAAUAAUAGUUCAGAAGGUUAGUUAGAGUUUAGAAGGUUCGAAGAUAUUUCAGAAGGUUGUUCUAAAGGUUUAUCAAGAAUAAGCCCAUAAAUAAAUUAACAUUAUCAAGAACAUACAAGGCUCACAUGGCAUAAAAGAAAGUGCAUAAAAGUACUAUGACUUUAGAUCAAUCAAGGAUUAAAUGCAUUAAUUUGGAUAAAAUUUAAAAGGAAUAUUAUUCUAAGAAAAAUUAGGAAUAUUCUUCUAAGAAAAUCAUCAUAGAUGUUAUGCAUAGUGCACCUCAUUGAUGCCCUUCAUUCAAGUUCACUAUUAAUAUUUGAUAGCAUCAGAUGAAGAUCAUUAAGAUGAUCACAAAUAUUCUGAAGUUCAAAAGGUCGUUCAGCUACAUGUUUUAUCUGACAGAAAGGUACAAUAGGUGAAAAAGCAAAAAGCAAAAGCAAAAUGCAAGAUCAAUUCAGAUUCAAUUAUAAUUAGACACAUAAGGGAGCAUAUACGUUCAGUAAAAAUGAUUACACAAAUCAACUCUAAAUAUUCCUAAAAUCUUAAAGAGUGUGUAACAUUUCUCUCUUAUCUUUUCAAUGAUAAUCUUCUUCUUCUUUCAAACCUCCAAACCAUUGUAAGAGAAAAUCUCAUCUAGUUUUAAGGGUAUUAAAAUGUUAGUUGAGUAAAAGAAAAGAGUAGAGUCUUGUCUGACUUAGAAAGAAAAGUUGUAAGCCUAUUGAGGCUAGAUAAUACAGUUUUUGCAUGCUAAGGCUAGAUAAUACACUUUGUAAGCCUGCUGAGGCUAAGAUAAUACAGAAGGUAAAGUCCCUAGUGGUAGAAAGUGUAAGGUGCAUGAGUUGAGAAGGUUGUCUCAAGGAUCAUAGUGAACAUCUCACAGUUGUGAGGAGUGGAAUAACCCACAUUAGAUGAACCACUAUAAUUCUCGUGUGUUAUAUUCUUUACCAUUACUCUUUAUUUUUAACAUUAAUAUUUACAUUCACUUUACACACCAUUAUCCCUUUAUUUAUUGUUUAUUACACUCACACUUCUGCAUGUACUUCAGAACAUUCUGAACUUGACCUAGUUUUUAUUUAUUUCAAGUAUCUACUUGAGAAUCACUUACCACAAGUGCAAGUUAAAUUUAAAAAGGGUCAUAAUUAAACCCCCCUUAUUUUGAAUAUUAUUUCCACUUCAAAGAAAACAGAUUACAUAAUGCUAUUGUUGUUCUUGAGAAGAGAAUAAAACAAAUCAGAGAGAAAAGGACGAAGAGAAGAGGAAGGUGGCGUUGUUGUUGUGCCUGUGUUUUUUUUUUUAAUGAAUUUGUAGGUUUUUUUUUAAUAAAUUUUUUGGAUUUGUGAUAAACACCAUGAACUUAUAAGUUAAAGAAGAUGAAGAUGAUGCUGAACAUAUAUCCUAGACAAAAAAAAAAAUAAAAAAAAUAAAAAAAGAAAUUAUACAAUCACAAUGCCACAUAAUAAAAAAUGCUGACUCAGCGCGCCGCAUCACUUUAGUUACCUAGUUAGAUGAGGCCAUGGUCGAUUUAUGAAGAAUCUUGAUUUUACAAUGAUGAAAUCUACUUUUUUACUACAUGAGGUAAACUGGAAAUGACUUAUAUUACAGGGGAUAAAACACUCUUAACCCUAGAAUAUAACAUGGAAGAGUUAAAUUCUUCAAUUUAUAAAAAAUAAAAUGACAUUAGAAGUUUAAAAAGUCAAAAUUUAGAGUUGGUUAUAUUAAAGCAACAAAGAAACUCAAAUGCACAAAUAAUAUUAUAGUGUCAUAUUAAUGUACAAGAGAAAUCCAUAAAUUUCACUCACAAUACAUUAAUGAGCAAAGACGGAGUACCAUGAGUAUUGUAUGCAUACCCAGUACGUGUACUUUAACGUUUUACAAUUACUUAUACUUCAAAGUAUAUUCUGUUUAACUAAUAAAUUGUACACUUACUUGAUUUUCCUCGUAAACAUUACCAUUUAAAACAUGAGGGAAAUUGGAAAUGANNNNNNNNNNNNNNNNNNNNNNNNNNNNNNNNNNNNNNNNNNNNNNNNNNNNNNNNNNNNNNNNNNNNNNNNNNNNNNNNNNNNNNNNNNNNNNNNNNNNUCCCCUCCCCUCCCCUCUCAUCCGCUUCUAAAAAUUGAACCAAACACUUCAAAUUAAAAAUCUUCCCUCCCCUCCAAAACUCUCGAACCAAAUGAACCCUAAAGUGAUCGACUUAUAAUUUGAAACAGAGGAGUAAUACUUAUGGAUCGGAGUAAAGAGUGCAGUGAGUGAAUUGAUGUAAAAUUUAGUUUUUUUCAUGCUAUAAUAUCUAUAAUGACUAUCGGGGUGCUAUUGUUAUUGACAAACUAGUUUACAAUGAAAACAAAUAUUACAAUGGAAACAAAUAUUACAAUGUUUGUGUAAUACACAAAAUUAUCAACCUAUUCGUCCUUCCUCAUGAUGCCCCUAAAGUCAACCUUCAUCCAGUAGAACUACAAUUUGAAGCUUACUGUUUGAUUUUUGAGUUACUGAUUCACAUUUAAUUUCCAUGAUAUUAUUGACGAUUGGUCAAACAUAAAAUAAAACUACAUUUUAAUUGACUUGUUUUAUUUAUUUAUUUAAGUUUUCUCGUUGUUUUAUUGUUUGAAUGGUAACCACAUUUAAGAUAUCAGCAAGAAGAGGUGGUAGUGCAACGAUAUCUACUCUGUGAUUGGUCCACACGCUAUAGGAUGUUGCAAGGAAGUUUCACUUACUACUUUUGUCAUUAGUUUUCUCCUUGUUUUAAAGAAUCCACCUAACAGACCACACAAAUUACUCAUUCAUAUUCUCCAUUUUCAAAGUCUUUUUUCAUCCAUAUUCUUUCAAUUCUCAUGGCUAUGCAAUCACCUUCCCGAGUGUUCCUCAGUUUCAGGGGCAGUGACACUCGCAACAAAUUUACCGGUAAUCUCUAUAAGGCUCUUGUUGACAAGGGAAUUCGUACUUUCAUUGAUGAUAAUGAUCUUGAAAGAGGAGAUGAAAUCACACCAUCACUUGUCAAGGCCAUUGAAGAAUCUAGGAUUUUUAUUCCCAUAUUUUCUGCCAACUAUGCAUCUUCUUCAUUUUGUUUGGACGAACUUGUCCACAUCAUUCACUGCUACAAGACAAAGAGUUGCUUAGUAUUUCCCGUUUUCUAUGAUGUGGAACCUACUCACAUACGAAAUCAGAGUGGGAUUUAUGGUGAGCAUCUUACUAAGCAUGAAGAGAGGUUUCAAAAUAACGAGAAAAACAUGGAGCGAUUGCGUCAAUGGAAGAUAGCUCUUAUCCAAGCUGCUAACUUGUCCGGCUAUCAUUAUAGUCCUCAUGGGUACCCCACUUUACUUAAAACUUGUUUUUCCUUUCUAUAUUUUAUUUCAUUAAUUUUUAUGCCUAAAUAAUCUACUCUCAAAGCUUAAAUAGGAACACAUUUUCUAUUAAUGUUUUUAAAACAAGUGUAAGUUAUUUAUAUGUCAAAAAAGUUAGAAUUGCAUAAUAUAUUCUCAAUACAUGGAUGUGAUUUUGAUUUUAGUGUAUUUUCUAAUUUAUCUUAUUGGACAUGAAUAGAUAUGAAUACAAGUUUAUUGAGAAGAUAGUCGAAGACAUCUCCAACAAUAUCAAUCAUGUUUUUUUAAAUGUAGCCAAAUACCCUGUUGGAUUACAGUCCCGAAUAGAAGAAGUGAAAUUGCUUCUUGACAUGGGCUCUGAGGAUGAGGUCCGCAUGGUAGGACUUUUUGGUACUGGAGGCAUGGGUAAAUCAACACUUGCAAAAGCAGUUUAUAAUUUUGUUGCUGAUCAAUUUGAAGGUGUAUGUUUUCUUCAUAAUGUCAGAGAGAAUUCAAGUCAUAAUAACCUGAAACAUCUCCAGGAAGAUCUCCUUUUAAGAACAGUUAAAUUGAACCAUAAGUUAGGAGAUGUUAGUGAGGGAAUUUCAAUCAUUAAGGAAAGACUAUCUAGAAAGAAGAUUCUUUUGAUUCUUGAUGAUGUUGACAAACUGGAGCAGCUAGAGGCUUUGGCUGGAGGACUUGAUUGGUUCGGUCAUGGAAGCAGGGUCAUCAUUACCACUCGUGAUAAACACUUACUAGCCUGUCAUGGGAUUACAAGUACACAUGCAGUAGAAGAAUUGAAUGAGACAGAAGCUCUUGAAUUGUUGAGGCGAAUGGCUUUUAAAAAUGACAAAGUUCCUUCAAGUUAUGAAGAAAUUUUAAACCGUGUAGUUACUUAUGCAUCUGGCCUGCCCUUAGCAAUAGUAACAAUAGGGGGCAAUUUGUUUGGAAGGAAGGUAGAAGAUUGGGAGCGUACAUUAGACGAGUAUGAAAAUAUUCCCGAUAAAGAUAUCCAAAGGAUACUUCAAGUAAGCUAUGAUGCUUUGAAGGAAAAGGAUCAGAGUGUCUUUCUAGACAUUGCUUGUUGCUUCAAAGGGUGUGAAUGGACAAAGGUUAAAAAAAUACUUCAUGCUCAUUAUGGCCAUUGCAUAGAACAUCAUGUUGGAGUGUUGGCUGAAAAAUCUCUCAUAGGCCAUUGGGAAUAUGACACUUAUGUGACCUUACAUGACUUGAUAGAGGACAUGGGUAAAGAAAUCGUCCGACAAGAAUCUCCCAACAAGCCUGGAGAACGCAGUAGGUUGUGGUUUCCCGAUGAUAUAGUUAACGUUUUAAGAGAUAAUACAGUAAGGAAAACUAAUAUUUAUGAACAAUUUGUUGUUUUAGCUUUAGCCAUGACUUUGAUCAUCCUGCCACCUCAUACUUGUGUUUUUUAUUCACUUAAUUACAUGUAUAUUACUCUAUAUAAUAUUUGUAUUAUGAUUUAUUCUUUUUUUAUUUUGUUAAAAGGGAACUGGGAAUAUUGAAAUGAUAUAUUUAGAAUUUGACUCAACGGCAAGAGAAACAGAGUGGGAUGGAAUGGCUUGCAAGAAGAUGACAAAUCUCAAAACACUUAUCAUUGAAUAUGCUAACUUUUCAAGGGGUCCUGGGUAUCUUCCAAGUAGUUUGAGAUAUUGGAAAUGGAUAUUCUGUCCUUUGAAGUCUCUAUCUUGUAUUUCGAGCAAGGCAAGUGAAAUAAGUUCAUUUUUCAAUUGUGUAUAUUGAUAAUUCUCUAUUAGAUUAUAAUUUUAAUUUCAGCUUAUUUAUUUGUUUUUUAUGCAGGAGUUCAACUAUAUGAAAGUCUUGACAUUGAACUAUUCUCGAUAUUUAACCCAUAUACCCGAUGUCUCAGGUCUUCCAAAUCUAGAAAAGUGCUCCUUUCAAAACUGUGAAAGUUUAAUUAGAAUUCACAGUUCGAUUGGACACCUAAAUAAACUUGAAAUCUUAAAUGCAUCUGGUUGCAGCAAGCUUGAGCAUUUUCCACCCUUACAGCUGCUCUCUCUUAAGAAAUUCAAAAUCUCUCAUUGUGAGAGUCUCAAGAAAAUUACAAUUCACAACUCGAUUGGACACCUAAAUAAACUUGAAAUCUUAAAUACAUCUAAUUGCCUCAAACUUGAGCAUUUCCCACCCUUACAGCUGCCCUCUCUUAAGAAAUUUGAAAUCUCUGGUUGUGAGAGUCUCAAGAAUUUUCCAGAAUUAUUAUGUAAGAUGACAAAUAUAAAAGAUAUUGAGAUAUAUGAUACUUCCAUAGAAGAAUUGCGAUAUUCAUUUCAAAAUUUCAGUGAACUUCAACGGUUAACAAUAUCUGGAGGGGGAAAGCUCAGGUUCCCAAAAUAUAAUGAUACAAUGAAUUCAAUAGUGUUUUCAAAUGUGGAACAUGUUGACCUCAGAGACAACAACCUCUCGGAUGAAUGUCUCCCAAUACUUCUCAAGUGGUUUGUUAAUGUGACAUUUCUAGACUUAUCGGAGAACUAUUUCACAAUUCUUCCCGAGUGCCUUGGUGAAUGUCACCGUCUUAAGCAUCUUUAUUUGAAGUUUUGCGAGGCUCUUGAGGAAAUUAGAGGGAUUCCACCAAAUCUUGAAAGGCUUUGUGCAGACGAGUGUUAUUCAUUGAGUUCCUCAAGUAUA
RNAcentral lists this long non-coding RNA (67454 nucleotides) under Medicago truncatula (barrel medic). RNAcentral's name for it is "long non-coding RNA (MTRU_LNC004374)". The stretch from base 35683 to 35850 matches the Rfam family "MIR2680 microRNA precursor family". The record is from RNAcentral. Lineage: Eukaryota; Viridiplantae; Streptophyta; Magnoliopsida; Fabales; Fabaceae.